UGUACUUCACCUUCUAAUAAAAAUGAAAAUGAACUUAUUGAUGUUAAUGAACUUGGUAGAAGCAAAAGAAUUAGGAAAAAGAAAGAUUUUGGAUCUGAUUUCUAUACCUUUAUGGUUGAAGAUGAUCCUAAAACAUAUAAAGAUGCUAUGAACUCAUUAGAUUCUAUAUUUUGGAAGGAAGCUAUUAAUAGUGAAAUGAAUUCACUUAUGACUAAUGAAACAUGGUUUUUAACUGAUUUACCACCUGGUAGUAAGGCUAUAGGUUGUAAAUGGAUCUUUAAGAAGAAAUUAAGACUUAAUGGUUCAAUUGAAAAAUAUAAAGCAAGAUUAGUUGCUAAGGGCUUUACUCAGAAAGAGGGUAUAGACUACUUUGAUACGUAUUCUCCUGUGACUAGGAUAACCACUAUCCGUACUUUAAUUGCACUGGCUUCAAUCCAUAAUUUGAUAAUCCAUCAUAUGGAUGUCAAGACUGCCUUCCUCAAUGGUAAUUUAGAGGAAGAAAUUUAUAUGGAUCAGCCAGAGGGAUAUGUGGCUCAGGGACAGGAAAGAAAAGUUUGUAGGUUAGUCAAGUCCCUUUAUGGUUUAAAACAAGCUCCUAAGCAAUGGCAUAGAAAAUUUGAUGAAAUAAUUGUUUCUUAUGGCUUUAAAGUAAAUGAAUCUGAUAAAUGCUUAUAUUCUAAGUUAGAAAAUGAUUCAUGUGUUAUUUUAUGUUUAUAUGUUGAUGAUAUCUUAAUUUUUGGUACUGAUAUGAAUAUUGUUACUGAUAUCAAGAAUUUUUUAUCUAAUAAUUUUGAUAUGAAAGAUCUAGGUCAGGCAGAGGUAAUGCUUGGUAAUAAGAUUACCAGAAUACCUAAUGGUAUAAUCUUUGAUCAAUCACAAUAUAUUGAGAAAAUUUUGAAGAAAUUUGAUAAGUACAACUGUAAACCAGUAAGUACACCUUAUGAGCAUGGUUUGAACUUGAAGUGCAACAAAGGUGAUCCAGUGGCCCAAGAAAAAUAUGCUCAGAUUAUUGGGACACUGAUGUAUAUUGCAAAUACAAGUAGACCUGACAUUUCCUAUGCUAUAGAAAAGCUCAGUAAGUUUAAUAGUUGCCCUAGUCUUAGUCACUGGGAAGUACUGGACAGAGUACUUAGAUACUUGAAAGGUACCAUAUCUUAUGGUUUACAUUACUCAAGAUUUCCCGCUGUACUUGAAGGAUACAGUGAUGCUAGUUGGAUCACUAAUUCAAUGAACCGAAAAGAAACUAGUGGAUACAUAUUCAUGUUGGGUGGUGCAGCUGUUGCUUGGAGAUCAUCCAAACAAACUGUGAUCACCAGAUCCACUAUGGAGGCUGAGAUUGUAGCCUUAGAUUCUGCAUCUCAAGAAGCAGAAUGGUUUAAAAAUCUUAUGUCCGAAAUUCCUAUUAUGGAAAAGCCUAUGCCUGCUAUCUCUUUGUUAUGUGACAAUGAAGCUGCAAUUAAUACUUGUAGAAACACUGAAUAUAACAAGAGAAACAGAAGACACAUUAGUGUGAGACAUAAGACAAUUAGAUACCUAAUUAAAAAUGGUAUCGUGACUUUGGAAUUUGUUAGAUCUGAAGGUAACCUAGCAGAUCCUUUGACUAAAGGACUAGCUAGAAGCAAAGUUAUAGAAACAUCACGGGGGAUGGGACUGAAACCCAUAAGGAAUCAUUGACAAUGGCAACCCAACCUAUUUUGACAGGAGAUCCCAAGACGAAAGGUUCAACGGAAAAAACAAGUUGUUUAAUGAUUAGUUAGCACUAUUAUUAAAAUGACUUUAUGUCAUUUGGUCUCUUCCUAUGAUGUGAGUGCUAAACACAGCAGAGGUAUACGGAAGAGUUAAAAACUCUGAAUGAGUCCGAGUCUAUGACAAGGUGCUGUGCUGUGAGCACCCUUGAAGGAUUCACCUAUGUGAGUGUGACUGUGUGGCUGCAAUCUAUGGGGAUAAGGGUUUAACCCCUACAGCGCUCAUGAAACUGAGAUAUUGGUGCAUGAGGCCGAAAAGCACCACCAUGAUGAACCCAGAAUUUACAUUUGUCAUGGGUGAAGUAUCUGGAAAUCUGAACCAAAGGAUUUGGUUCAAAGCUUUUUAGCUACCACUAUUCCUUUCAGAUGUAAGUAUACUAAAGGUUCAAAGCCGCAAGCUACCUUUACUGAAGUCGUGACAUGAAAAGCCCGGUACGACUAUUUUUUAUAAAAUCUUAAAAAAAUAUUUUAAUCAGGUGGGGAAUUGUUGGAUUUAUAAUGAUUAAAUGUUUUAAUUUUUCACCAUCUUUUGGUGGUACGGCUGGUUUGUAUGUGGGUAGUUCUCACAAGGACUUGAGUUCGAGUCCUUCUUCCCAUGGGUUUUUGUGUCACCCUUUUCAUGCUUUUCCUCAUGUUUUAUGUCAUGCUUUUACGUCCGUGCAAGAGGGGAGAGGGGAUUCCUUGCACGAACGUAAAAGUAAGUGCUUUUACGGCUUCCUUGCACGAACGUAAAGUGCUUUUACGUCCGUGCAAGAGGGACACGACCGUGGCUUCGCGGUAUCGCGCCUCACGCGAAAGAUCGCGCCCGCGACCGUGGCUUCGCGGUAUCGCGCCUCACGCGAAAGAUCGCGCCCGCGACCGGUUUCGCCACGCGAAGGAUCGCGCCUGCGAUCGUGAAGAGACGCACACCGUGAAGAGACGCACCCGACAGGCCCUCUCGUAGAGGUAUAUAAAUAGACGACCUCUACAGAUUAGAAAUAUAUAUUUCUUUAGACAAAAAGCAAAGGAUUUCAAAUUCUUUUCCUUUCUCUACUCUCUUCCUACCAGUUAAAAUAUUUCUUCCAAAUUUUUUUUUAAAACGGGCUUCCUGCAUAUUGAUUCUGGGUUCGAAGCUUUCUUUGAUCUGUGCAAAUCAUCGAGGUUGAAGGAACGAGAGGCUGUUGUAUCUCAGGAGUAGAACGCCAUCCAAGCCUAGUGCACUGUAAGGCGGCGAAAUCUACUUCAAGAAAAGUGACCAACAUACCACACCUCAGCAUCUCGGAUUCCAUUUUUUCUACUUUUAUUUUUAAUUUUUUAUUUUAGCCUAUUACUGCCUAUUAUUUAUUGAAGUAGAAUAGUUUAGUUUUAUUUUUGCUUCAAAUAUUAUAUUGAAACAUUCCCAACCCUCCGGCAGUUCCAAAGGAGGAUCCUCAUAAUUCACCUUGAUUUUUGGCGCAGCCCUCUCCCUCAAGGCCGCCCCCAACAACUGCAACUAAAUCCCCCCAUAAGAUGACUCCCCUGCAUUAAUCCCCAUCCAAAUCCCAUCUGUUUCACUUGUCCCCUCCUCCACCACUCUGGAAUUCUGCAGCACCUUCUGGAGUAACAUCAUCAUCUCCCUGUGCCUCAUUCCAAUUGGGUCCAACGUCUCAUGGUUUGCGCCCUGAGCCUACUUUCUUCCCCGACCAAUGUAAGAGGCAUUGUCGCCUCCCUCCUCCCAGGUGCAGAUGCCUCACCAGCCAUCAGGCACUUGCCCCAUUUAGAUCCAGGUAGCUUCUCCAGACCCCCCGCUCGGCCAAGGGGACUCCUUCCCCGCGUCUUCGCCCCACUCCCGGCCGCUUCAUCAUGCACCUGCUGCCGAGAAAGGGUGUCGCCGACCACCCGGGAAUGGACACCCCCCUCCCAUGAUGCCCUGGUUUGGAGGAGGCAAGUCCGAUCCGCCGAGGCGGCCAGAGGGAGGUUGCCACCCCAUACAUGGAGUCUGACUCCUCCCUGGGAUGUAGUGCCCGUGCCCGGCACGGUUGGCACGGGUGACUGGCACGGCCCAUGUCUUUCUGGAUCGCAGGCUGCUGUCUUUCUUGGCGGGCCCCUAUUUCUCUUCAGCAGGCCAGUCCCGGGAGAUAGGCUCGCUGCGCCCGAGCCGGCCUUCACACCCUGGGCUGCGCCCAGUUCCUGCACGCCCUCACCCUAGCUCAACCCGCUGGGUUGACUCGGCCGCUCUCGCUCCAGUACUGCCUCGGGUUGGAGCCGAGUCUCUACAGUGGUUUGGCUCGCCGUCUUCUUGGGCUCCGGUGAGCCACCCCCCGUUGUCCUUUCCCCCGCCGUGCCACGUUCCGUGGUUGUUGCCAACCGUCGAAGUCCGGGGACGAGUAGGGUGGCGCCGGCUCGCUCUGCAGAGGGCUCGACUAGGGAGGGCUAGGGUUCGGAGCCGACUUCGGUUGGAUCUCGGUCUCCUUCCCCGCCUGACCCUCCGGUCCAGCGCCUCGGGUCAAGCAGACAGGACUCGUGGAAAGCCAAGGGCCGAAGAACUACCUGUUGAUGCACCCAGUCACCGUCAUCCCAGGCCCCUCCUGAGGAGAUCCGGAAUCCUCUUCCACCUGUGGCCCGGGGUGGCGACAUGCGUCCUCCAAGUGCCCCAGCCGGCCACACACAAAACAAAACGUCGGAAGGUCUUCGUACACGAAGGCCUACCAAAACCUUCCCGAUGCACCCUGGAGGAAGAUGCCCGGCACGAGGGGGCGUUGGGCAUCAAUUUCUAUCAUCACCCUCGCAUACCCCGCUCGCUGGAGUUGAUAGGACACCUUAUCGAUAUCCAAAGGCCAGCCAGCCUCUGCAGCAAUAUCAAGCAGCGAGUCCUUGUCCUAGAAUUUUAGGGAGAGACUAGAGAGGCGAAGCCAUACCACGGUCCGGCUCACCGUGUUGAUGCCUGGCACGAAGUCGGGCCUCCAUGCCUCCAUCGCCAUGAGUUGGCCAGCCACCCGCCAUGACCCGCUGGCCAGCGCAGCAUCACGAUCUUCCCCGCUCUGAAAUCAGAGAGUCAUCAGACCCUUCGCCAUCGGAACAAAAUCCACAUCGUAUUCAGCUUGCCCCGGCGCCGUAGGUUGCAUGCUACCCACUUCGCUGGCACGCGACAGCCCAAACUCCGGACGACCAACGCUGUAGACGCCCACGCCGUUCGUGCCCUGUCCACGCGGUCGGGAGGUAACUUCAGCACCUUGGGAAAGAGUCGAUGGAGAAUCGCCAACUCCUCCGCCGUAAUCCAGUGUUGGGCCCACAUCUAUCGCCAGGGGCCCUGAGCUACCUCCGACCAUGAGGAGGUGGUCGCAUCCUCACGCCGGCCGUCCUGCUCUCCCUUCACCUCCGCCGCAUUGGGUGGCCGCACCGCCAUCAGCACCACCUACCCAGUGUUCGGCAAAAGUUCCCACUCAACCGCACCAUACAGCCCGCUCCCACCCGCCUACCCAGUUUGCCCGCUUCUGUUUUCUCUGUGCUUUAUUCAUCGGUGAACGUCUACCCAAGAACUCAUGUUUUAUUUUCUCCUCUGCUGUCCCACUCAACUUACGUAUUGCAUCACCAUAUUUUAUUUUCUCCUCUGCUGUCCCACUCAACUAUCUUCAGGUUUCUAUUCUUUUAUGGACCCCAAAGGAAGACUUUAGCCUGACCGGACUUUGGUCGACCCUCCCUUGAUUUAAGCCGAUUGGGACUUUGUGCCCCAAUUAUUGGCAUAAAGACACGAACUCGUUCAAACUAACAACGUUAUAACCAUCGUAACGAAAAUUAUAUCGGUUUCAGCACCCAAAGGCCAAAGGUUGUUAUAUUAUUAUAUAAAUAUCUAAUCAUUAUUUCUACUUAUAUUUCUUCUAAAUGAACUAUUGUUUUUUUUUCAAAAUUUAAAUUGUAUUUUAUCGAAUUUCUUACUGAAGUCAUUGUGUGAUUCGAAAAAGUAAAUGGUUUUUCAUAGUUUUUCACCCAAGACAAGUGAAUGAUCAUUCAUCUCCUUGCUGUAGUGCCAAUAUCAUCCUCUUGUAAGCCAUCUGGUGCGACAAAUGUAGUAUGGGACCCGAGCCCAUCCUGCUGAUUUUGGUUACGUUCACAUUACCGCACCAGGCUUUGAGUCUAUUUUGGUGUUGAGAUCACCGCCUUGCAUAUUUUUUGUCCGAUUUUUUUUAAUGAGUAAGCCCAACAUGUAAAAUUUUUAAUAAUGAGAUUAAAAAGUAUGGAAACAGAAUUUGAACUCAAAAUCUCUGCUCUGAUAGUAUGUUGAAAUCAGCAUUUUUUCUGAAAACUUAAGUUGAUAGAAUGAGAUAGAUUUAUUUAUAUAUUUUAUACAUUUUGAUCGUUAAGCAAAGCCCACAAAAUCAAUACUAUAAAUCAUAUGUGUGUGGUCAGUAUGAUAUACACCUUGUACUAAGAUUGAACACUUUCUGUUUUUUUUUUUUUCUAAUCCAAAACUUUAUGGUCCAGAACGGUUCUGCCAUCCAGCUCAUAUGCCUCGUAUACCGAAUUAAAAAUUGAUACCUUAACUGGUAAAAAUGUAGGAGUAGUACAGAGAGUAGGUAUGAGUCAAUAGGCAGACUUUGUUGUCAAUAAUUGGAGAUAAUUAAGAACCUACUUAUCUAUGGCAAGGAGUUAGACCUGGAUUGAUGUGAUGGCACAAAAAAGCUAAUUAGCUACCCUAUAAUUCGUCUCGUUUGUUCAUUUAUUUGGUAACAAAAGCAGCAGCUAAAGCCCUCAACCCUGCAGCACGGCUGCAGUAAAUCCAAACACCAGCAUUUCAUGUCGGCACAUCCAAGGAAUUCCCAUUUUCUGAGAUGCACUUCUUUUGUCCGUUUUCAAAUCCCCUGAAAGUCACUGUAGACAGGCAUCUGAAUUAAAGGAAUCCUACUUGUAACCAAUUUUUUCUUCUUCUUUUUUGCUCCAUGUAUCUAAAUCUAAUUACAUGUCCAUGUAUCUAAACUAAUUUGUCAUCUAAAACGACUCAAACAUGCUCAAUGCUGGUUUAAGUGAAUGGCAGCCAUAGAGAAUGCUGAUUCAUUUUGCUUUCUUAUUCAGCCGAAAACUCUCUCACAAUUCUUCCAUGGCUGUUUGGCGGAAAGAAGCAGCACAUGGCUGUCUAUUUGUCCUGGAGGACAAAUCUUAUUUGAUACUCUGAAAUCUGACAUAUUGACGGACUUAUGCAUUCAAGUGGUACAAGAUGGAUAGAAAGCUAUCAAAAGACUUAAAACUGGUGGACUACGUGCCCAAGGUUCAGCAGCUAUGACCAUAGCUUCAUAACCUGUUGUACAAUGCCAACUGGUUCCUCAAUUUUUCUGCUUCAGGCUUCAGGCCAUCGAAAUUGACCGAGCUUGGUAUCCUCCAUCUCCAGUUGCCCAACUGUGAAGAGGAACGAAUAACAAGGAUCUCUCCUAUAUUAGCAGAUGUAUGAUGAUAUCUUAAUUGUUAAUUUUAGGUGCAAGCCUCUUAUAUGUAUCCAGAGCAAUUAGCAAAGUGUUGCUAGUUUUUGUUGUUGAUCCGUAGCUUAUGAUUGAUGCCUGAAUGACUCUAAAAGAACUAAAGUGUUUCCAGGUUUAUGACAAGGAUUAGAGGAGACUCAUUGACUGGAAGAAAUGUUUUGCAUCAAUCUACAUUCUAUUCCAACAAAGAGUUGAAUGGUCGGGUGACUGACCUGUGUUGCUGGAAUGUUCAUCCGAGCUGAGCUUCCCAGACCAAGGAUGUCUUGCAUGGGUAUGACAGCAGUACGGGCAACUGACGAGAUUGCAGCACAAAUCAAUGCCCAUGAGAUGGGUUCGUUGGCGAUCCAGAGGUAUUUCUGGACCUGUGCGAAGAAAUCAUUUUAUUGAUGUGACAAAUCUAACAAUGGAGACUUCUUCAUUAAAGUUUAAACUUCAAACUGCAACUGCAGAGCAUUUGAGCCCUUCAAUACUGAUAUUAAAUAGAGGCACCAGAAAUACUCACAUUACACUUCUCUUCCUCCACCAAAUUUUCCCACCAACCGAGAACCUGUAACAUGCAACUGAUUGAGCAAUUACUUAAUGGAGCCAUAACAAAUUGGCCAAAUUUUUUCAAUAAGGCAUAUGAAAGGCUAUUUCAGAAUCUGAUUAAUAUUGGUGAUCAAACCCAAAGUCUGUCCGUCCAUAAAUGGAAAGGUGAGUGCACAUGAUGGAUGUUCACCGUGUCAUUAUCAUGCGUUCCAGUGUAUACGACUUGAUCUUGCUCAUGAUUAUGAGGCAAGUGAGGGUUGUCUGAGCCACUUCCGAAAGCUGGGCCACCAAAAGAUGUGGGUCAAAAAAGAAAAAGGAAAAUCAGAUUCAUGUCAUUUCAGAAAUAUAUUGAAAGCUUGGGGGCUGUUUGGUAUUGUCGUUGUUUUUGUAUUUAUGUUUCCCUGAAAGUGAAAUACCACGUCGAGAUUGAUGUUUGGAGAUAGCAUUUGCACCAAACUUCUACCGGCCCUUGCUUUUAUUUUCACUUCUUCAGAAAAUAAUAAAUUGUUUACUGCCAAAAGCUCUGAUGGUUCUAUAACAAUUUAAAAAAACAAAAGGGUUUAUAUGCGUAUCUGUUCAGUCUUGUUCAAUUUUCAUCUUAGAUUUUUGAAAACAAAAACAGAAAACAAAAGCAAUACCAUAUGGACCCCUCAGUAUCAUGCUAUUCUGGUUAAAAAAAUGUUACCAAACUGGAGAACUGCCAUUCCAGGAGCCCCAAUAGCUUUUCUUAGCUGAACAACAUCCUCAGUAAUCACUCCCUACAAAGAUUAAGGAAGAAAAGUACUUGACGACAACUACUAUAAAAAAAUUAAGAUUCAGAAGAAAAAAAAUCAACAAGCAGAGAAAAACCCAACAUUUACAGAAACAUUUUGGAAUACACUGGAGCAUACCAAGUCUUCUGCUAUUAUAUUGAUUUUUCCAACAGCUCUAAAGAUGGCAUCAAAGAAUGCUUUCCUUGGUCCAGCCUACAGCCAAUUAAAUAAAAAAAAACAUGCAUAAUCAAUUAAUGUCCUAUAAAGAAAUACCUGUAUCUUUUUCAUGUAAUGCUUACCUUCCAGCUUCCAAACAUUGCUAUCUUUGAUUCUGCAAUUUAUGAAUUCCAGUAGCAGUCAUUACUUACUUGAUUACGUGGAUUAGCAAGUAUGUACCAUUUAUGUUAUGAAAUAUUUCAUGUAUCACCAUAACCAAAAUAAAGGUGUUAAUUAAUUGCCCACCAGAAGGAACAGCCCAAAAGCCGGAAAAACCUCUGAAAUGGUCUAUCCUAAAUUCAUCAUAUAAAUCAAGUGCACGUUUAAUUCUUUGUGUCCACCACCCAAAACCAUCAUCUUCCAUAGCUUUCCAGUCAUAUAAAGGGCUGUUGAGUAGACAAUGAAAUGAAAGGCGAUUAGCCUUCCACACUGUAGAAAAUAAUGGAACAAUGAAAUCAAGAAAGAAAUGUAAAUGGUUCAUAUAUAAUCUUUUAUUAAAAUUCCAAUAUGUGACAAAGUCCUCAAUUCUUCUUAAGUAAAAAAAACUAUAUUUCAUAUCUAUGAGGUAAGAGCUUUGAUUUCUAAAACUCCCAAAAAAGGUCAUAGGUGAGUGAUAUCGUGUGGAUCUAUCAUAAGCCCAAUACAUCACUGAAGCACAAAGAACCAAACACAUGACUAGAGAAUCAAUAAGAUAACUAGUUAUGUAUACUGAUGAAGAAUUGACAGCAUGAAAUUUGUAAGAACUUUUUGUACAUAUUGAAAAUAAAAAAGAAUCAAUAUGAAAACAUAAAUAAAUAAAAACUUCAAAAAACUUUUAGGUAUAUUAUUUUUACCUUGUAAUUAUUGAAGAAUAAGAAUCAUGGCACACUUUUUAAUAAAGAGAGUUUCAUAUUGAUAUAUUAGGAAGGUGAGUUCAUGUGUGACAUUUUUUAAUGUGUAUAAAAGAAUAAUCUUUUACAAUUUCUUGUGAGCAAGUUAACAGAUUAAUUUUAUUAGUCAAUAUCCACCAAAUUUCACUAUUUCAAAGGAUUUCUUUCAGAAAAGAAAUGCAGAUUAUCGAAUGCUGCCCCAAUCCAUAAGAAGGUAAUGCUGAGUAUUGAAAACAACAGCCAGCUGCCGGAAAGGUAAUGGUGCUGAACGAAGCCGAACCCUCAUUGAAAGAUAAAGUCAUAUUUUUGAAAUCGAUUUAGUUGAUUUGGCCAUGACGGUUUUGGCAUGCUAAAAUGGAACGACCAGAGAGUUUUCAAAGUUCCAGUCCUACUUAAAGUGAGUGAGUUUUUUUUUUAUGAGAUGAGUAUGCGUGCUACUGGCUCGAUGGACAAACUCAAGGAGCCUCAAACACUUCUCCAGCGGCUUCACUGGUCGCUGGUCUGCCAUUCUCAGUGUCUAGAACUAUAAACUUUUUCAUUUUUCGAAUCAUUCAAUCAACCGACCUUGCUUGCCGCCGUUGAGGGAUAGAACUCUCCCAAUGAAGUAAAGUAGGUGACACAUCCGAACAAGAAGAAUAUAAGCAGACUAAGAAAGUGAUUCGGAUCUCACACUUUCCACCAACUCUAUAGAAGGCAAGUUAAGAUUUGACUUCAAAUCCAAAAGGACGGAACUAGUUCUAUAUAAAAAAGAAAAGUUUAUUGUAAAGCUGACUUUUGAAGCUUUUAAGAUCAUGCCAUCAAUUGCAAAGAGAGAUCUAUUGUAUAGGAUUAAGUAGCUUUGAUGAACAAGUCUGCAAUGUUAAUCAGCUUCGUGGCCAAAUAUUAUUAGAAAGUAAUCCUGCAAUAAUGAAUUAUUGAAAAUAUGGAGAAUAAUGACUGCAAAACAAAGUGCAGAUGAUAUGAUAACAGCAUGCAGAGAGCAUGCAUAUUAGAUGAUUUGGCCAUGGGUGCUGAGAGCAGGAGACAGAUCCAGUAAAGAGGGAAUUUUGGAGGAGGUAGAAUAAAAGGGAGGACAAGAAGGACCUCAAAGGAAGUGGAGAAAAUAGAUCUCAAAGUGAUCAUUUAUAUUGUUGGGUAGGAGCAAUUGUUGGACAACAAAUGCAGACUGAUAAAGAUGACAUGAGGUAUUGUUUAUAGCUGUGGCUUGACAUGCUCCCAAGAUAGAGUUUAAUCCUAUCAACAACGGAAGCUUUCCUAUUUAUUCGAGCUAUUAGUCUGAGAAGAUGAAAAAUACUGAAGCAACUUUUGGCGUAUGAGUUUCAACCUGUCCCAUAGCUGACCAGUUUCACUGAAGGCAUCAGGAGGAACACCACUAACAAGAAUUGGAAAACCACUCCUAUCCUGCAACACAGAGAUAAAACAAGAUGAAGUGAUGUCAUAAUAUUUUGAAAGCUCAAAUCAAAAGGACGGUUGAUAGUCUCCAAAUUUCAUGUGAAACACAUACCAGCAAAAAUAAUUUUUUGUUUGCCCAAACAUCAGCACUGUGAUAGCCUACAUAAAUAGGCAUGUCACCCAUAAUCUUAAUUCCCAACUUCUGAGCAUACCUGCGAACUCUUUGCCAUUGCCUUUGAAAUAAAAAUUGUUGAGCAAUAAAUAUGUCGAUCUGCAAGAUAGAAAGAGACAUUUUGAUGGUCAUGAAAUAUUCCAUUUAGCUAUUUCGUGAGAGAGAGGUAGAAUCAAGAGGUGCCUACAAAGUCCUUGUGGUUUUGAUAUAUGUCUUCCAAGGCGCAAAGGUGGCGAUUUUUUAAAGGUUCAGGCCAACCAUACCAGGAGAAUUGAUCAACACUACGGUCAAUUGCAGCAAAAAGAGCAGCAUCUUCAAGCCAACCUAGGUAGGCAAAAAAUAGUAUGAGGACUAAGACCCAUCCAUGAAGGUACUUAGGAAAGAGAAUGGAAAUCUUAAAAAUUUGAAAGCAACUCUGCUCAUCUAUGCUGAGCCCAUAUAUACACAGACACGCACACACACACACAUGUAUAAAUGGCGCAAUAUAUACACACUCAUGUACAAAUGGCGCAAAGUCUGCAUGCUUUAUAGAUUGAUAAUGUUGGAUGAUCAAAGAUAAAAUCAGAGAAAUUUUUGGAGAAAACCAUACAUUAAAAGCUUUGACCGAAAAAAAAAAGAAGGAAAGACCACCACCAAAUUCCCCCUUCUCUAAAAAGGUUCCUUAGUGAAAAAAAGGUAAAAGGGAAUCUCUCUCUCUCACACACACACACACACACAAAAGUAAGGACAACUAAUAUGCUUGCAUAGCACAGUCUUAUACAUGCAGCAAAAAGUGUUUAGUAGGUAAAUAUUAAAUCUUAAAAUUAUAAGAAAAAAAUGGCGCUGCAUAGUUUCGGACCUACAUUUAGAGUCUUUCCUUUUGAAAACAGAAGUUUAAGUACUGUUAAAAACAAGAUGGUUCAAAUGGGGAUUAUGGAUUGACCUGUAUUAAAAAUUAACUGUUCUUGGGAAGCUAAAAACUCAAAUACAAGAGACUUGCGUUACCAAACUGAGUAAGACACUGCAUAAUAAUAUCAAACAUGCCAGCUAAAUCUCCUAAGAUGCAUGACAACACGGUACAACAUAGCCCCUAUUUUUUCAAACAAUGCUCCUGAACUUUAUUUUCUUUUAGUAGCUCAAAGCAAACAGUUUCCUUCCAAACCACCCUAAUCAUCAACAUACACAAGCCUUCGUUAAAUAAAAAUGGUUUGAGAAAAAUUCAAAUACAGGUUCUAUUAGUGAUUCAAACCAGCAAGAGCUUUAAAAAUUCUUGUUUUAUUUUAUUGAUUAAAUAUAUUAAACACCCUUAUUGUCACCCAAAUCAGUCUAGAAACAAUGGAUCCAUGAAUUCCUAAACAGGUUUAUAAUCUACAUGCUUAAACCAAAACAAAAUUUAUACUGAUAACAAGACGACAAAUCAUCCUCCCACUGCAAGAUAUAAAGACCUAUCUGAGACCUAUCUCAAGAAGCCAUGUACAGUGGGCUACAUCUGUAAAUAAGGGUAUAACGUCUUAAUUUGAUUUGGACAGUUCUUUCUCUUCACCUUCUUUAUGAGUUGAAUUUUAUUCUAAUUUCUUUCUCCUAUCUUGCUGCUACACCUACAUGGGCAAUCUUCUUUCUUUGCACAGAGAUCGUUGAGCACAGUGCUUCCAUUUUCCCCAAAAAUAUUUAUAAGUUUUUAAGUAAAACUACUAAAUAUAAUGAAAGUACUUCACUGCAUCCAGACAUUUAAGCAAGGCCAAAAAGUCUACAUUAGCUCCUGCUAAAUCAUGCCUGUGCACCAUCAUGUUGUGAAACCUUUAUGAAACAAUCUCCUUCAGUAAAUGAACCUCCUAUUGAUUCUCUCUUCCUAGAUAAUGUUAAGAAAGAGAUGCAAACAAAGAAACACAUCAACUGUGUUUUGGAGUUGUUUUUUUUAUUAAGCACAUGAAUAAAUAAUUUAUUUGCGAAGGAACCUAACCCCAAAUAUUUUACAGGUUGAUGGGAUCACAGAAUUUCAUUAAAUACUCUUGAACCAGUCACGUGCAACAAAGGCAUCAAAUUUAAGUGACCUAUACUGACUUACAAUGCUUUAAUAUAUUUUAAACUAAAAGAUGCUUUAUCAAAAUAAAUCAUUUAUAUAAUCAUUUCCACAAUAUAAUUACACAGAAUAUAAAUCUUUACAGUAAAAAGUAUAUAAUAGAUUGUAGUAUUUAUAUAUGUUCAUAAUGUUUUACAUACUAAUACAUCUGUUAUGUCAUUUAACCAUUUAAGAAUAUUUCCAGAAAAAAAUUGAAAUGUUAUUAAACACAUUCUCCAACAAUAACAUAUCUCAAAACUAAAACAUACUAGAACCAACAGUGGAUCAAAUCGAAGAGUAUUUUACAUAUAUAUUUAUCCAGAGACCUACAUGAUUCUCUCACUCCACAAUUCUUCCCAUGUCACAUUCUUCUGGUUCCUUUUCAUUAUUAUCUUAAGCCUAUUUGUCAAUUUCUAUGCUUCUUGCAGUUCGUAAAUAAAUUAACAUCUUUAAUGUGCAUUCGGUAUGUUUUUCUCAUUUUCUUAGCAUUAAUGAGAGAUAUAAUAGGCCACGAUAUCUCCAGUCUUCAUUUAUCAUGAAAAGAUGAAAGUCCUUACAAUGUUGACUUGAGUAACCAAUCUUAAAAAUAUGUGAACAAAAAACAAAGGCAUCACAUUCAUAUGCACAUCCAUAAUGCUACUAGAAACUUUCAUUGCCUUGCUGGUAACCAUAGAAGAGGAUACUUCUUUAUAGAGUGAAUAUAAAACCUUUCAUUGCUGAAAAACUGGUAUAAGCAUUUGAUAAUAACUGGAAUUGAGCAUAUGGAGCCUUGUUUUUGUGUGAAUAGUUAAAAAUAGAAAUUAUUUGGGACUUCUCUUUUGGUAGGUUUAUGUUAAAGCGUUAAUAAAUGAAUUCUCUUUUUUAUUAGAUUGACAUCCUUUAUGAUUAUCACUCUUUGAACAAUGUCAUACGCGCGCACACACACACACAGAGAGAGAGAGAGAUGAGGGGUACAAUCCAUGUGCUGGCCUUAGAAAUAUAAACUGCUCAAGUACAGUGUUGUGCCUCAACAAUUCCAACUAUCAGUCGAUGACAACUGCUUUAUAAAGUAUAACUAUUAGUUGAUCACAAUUGCUUUAUAAAGUAUAGUCCCAAGUCCCAACAGACUCAACUCUGUCCUUCAACAAAUACUAGAAACUACUUAGAAUGCAUACAGACAGCAGUACCAGUGCAGCAACCUAUUGUUCAGAAAUGAAUAUAAUACCUGAAAUGCCAGGAUCUUUACGAAAGUCAUCAAGAUGUUUCUUAAGCUCCCCUCGACUUUGAAGAAGCCUCUCUGCUGCCUAACAUGGAUCAAAAUUUAGCCAGCAUCAUCAUCCAAAUAACACUCCCUUAAAAUUAAUGCAACCACAUAGUUAAAACAGUUUGUACUCACCCCAUGGUCUUUUAAUGCAAAAAUUAGCAUACACAACAUUAGCUGGCCAAUCUUAAUCAUGCAGUCAUUCAAAAUGUCAAUGUAUGACCUUAUGCCAUGGUGCAUGCAAAGUGAUGCUUAGAAUGAUUAUUGUAAUGCAGGCUGCUUAAAAAGCUGUUAGGUGAUAGUAAUACCAUGAUUAUAUAUUUACACAUACUGCAACCUGUCUCAAAAAGAUCCAUUGAAGUGGACCCCCUUGACAAUCAUCUUGAAAAACUGAGAUUUUAGAUUGAUCAACAAAAACAUGUUAUCAGCCUGUUAGACAUAAACUAGUUGCAAUGUGUCUCGUAAAGCAAAUACAUAUACAACUACAAAGAAAACUAAGCCUUAUGAGCAAGACACCCAUUCAGUUGGACAUAUAAGACCAUUUACAUUUUCUACAACCUACAAACUCAUACAAGGAGAAAAAAGGGAAUACAACCAUGUAAUUGUCAUAAUGCAAAUAUCGUAGGAUAGCUUAUAUUAUACUGGCAUUCUAGAACCUGCAUGCCUUAACAAAUUACAACUAUAUGUGGUUCACAUAACACCAUUAGAAGACAGGUUAAUAGAACAAUACUAAAUGGAUCUACUAAAUAGGAAGAAAAGAAUAGAACGAGCACAAAUUAAGUCCUACAGUAGUCCAAAUACAUCAUGGAUGGUCUCACACAUAGAUGAAAUAUAAUCAUCUUCUGGUAUGAGAUUUACAUUUUCUAAUUUAUCAUAUCUUUUUAUUGGUAUUUUCCCACCAGAAGUUCAUAUCUUUGUACCCUUAUCUUCUUUUAGUUAACAGAAUUUCAUAUGUUUGUUAACAUGUGCACCAAGAGCAAGGUUCAGCUAAAUCACUGGGUUUAAUCCAAAAAGUUGCAUCUCGAUCACAACAGGUAAGUUCAAUGUCAUAAAGACUUAAACAGUAAUGAUGGGGUCAUCAUGAUGAAUGUAACAUGAGUGUGGAAACCACACAUGAGGGAUAGUCAAACAGAACCAAUGAUCCCUGAUAAGUCAGUCGACAAGUUCCAAAUUGAUGAUUCACUCUAUCAAAAAAUAAGCAAAAGAAAUGACAACACCUGCAGUUCAGCAUUAUCUACUAACCUUUGCUAUUAAAGGAUCUUUUACAUCUGCCACAGUUGCAAAUUCAACAUGCUCAAUUUCCCUGGCAUUGACAGCAGAGAAUUGUUAGAUCCUAUAAAGAAAUCAUUUUUUAAAGUCAUAUGCUGACAUAUCAAGCAGUUCAGAAGCUCACAUCUGCUCUGGAAGUUCAUCCUUCAUCAGUAAACCAUCUUUAACUAGCUCCUCAAGAGAAAUCAGAAGGGUGUUACCACAAUUUGCAUCCUGCAAAUAAUUAUCAAAAAAUAUUCUAAUAAUCUGAGCAAGAGCAAGAAUAUAAUGUAUUUUGGCCUCAGUCUUCAUUACAGUGGAACCCAUUUUGGACCCUAUAGAUAUUUGAAUUAGGGAUGGUUACCUGCCAGUGUAUUAUUAUAAUCUCCUUCAACAAUGAACUAUUUUCACAUUCAUUCUGCUGGUGUAUGAUUUGCUUUUGGUUUAUAUACAACAUGAAGUUUUAUGAGAUAAAAAGCUGCUCAUGGAACAAACAGCUGUGAAUCAAAUAAUAUCUAUUGAAAUGUUGCAGUAAUGUCACCGAUAGAUGUAGUAUAUACAAAAAGUAAUGUAUUGCAGUAAAAUUUAAAUUUCUUUCUUUUUUCCUUGAGACAUGUAAGAUCACCUGGCCUGCAUAGGGCGAUCCAUCUUCCCUUGACUUCCUCCCCGGAGGUACAAGUGGAAGAACCUGCAUAAAAGAAAUCAUAGAUAACAUUUCAGAAACGUCAUUAUAUCAAAGAUACUCACCAAAUCUGACGAAACCAAUUAAGGAUUAAAACCACAUGCACAGACACAGGCAAAGGUCAGGUCAGUUUGGUUGCAUGCAAGUAGAUCUGCAAUUAACAAAAGUCAUCCAACCAAUCCAUCUCCAAAGUUUGCAUAUGUAAUUCAUGUAACUAAGGUCAUUCACAUACUCAUCUCUCACCUUCCAGAAGUAACUUCACUUAAAGAAGUUCAGAAGUCACUUCAACAACAUGAACAUGAUCAUAUUUAGAACUUCCACUAUGCUUUGAUCAUUGUUCAUCAUGAUUAAUAACAUCCACAUAUGCCUCAUGACCCCUGCGCAUAAUAAACCAUCUCAAAAUCUCUCACUUUAAUAAACUUAAGCAAAUCAUCUAACUAUAGGAAAAUAUAAAAUAUAUAAAUAAAUCUACCUCAUCCUAUUAACUUAAGUUUUUGGAACAACUGGUGAUUUCAAUAAGGUAUCAGAGCAGAGGUCCUAAGUUCAAACCCUGUCUCCACACUCUUUAACACCAUUAUUAAAAAAUUUCACAUAUUGAGCUCACCCAUGAAAGGAAAGUUCGACCCACAUGUGAGAAAAANNNNNNNNNNNNNNNNNNNNAAUAAGGUAUCAGAGCAGAGGUCCUAAGUUCAAACCCUGUCUCCACACUCUUUAACACCAUUAUUAAAAAAUUUCACAUAUUGAGCUCACCCAUGAAAGGAAAGUUCGACCCACAUGUGAGAAAAAGUGUAAGAAAAUAUAAAAUAUAUAAAUAAAUCUACCUCAUCCUAUCAACUUAAGCUUUUGGACAAGUGUUGAUUUUAACAUGGUAUCAGAGCAGAGGUUCAAAGUUUGAACCCUAUCUCGGCACUCUUUAACCCCAUUAUUAAAAAAUUUCACAUGUUGGGCUCACCCAUUAAAGAGAAGUCCGGCCUACAUGUGAGAAAGAGUGUAAAAAAAUAUAAAAUAUAUAAAUAAAUCUACCUCAUCCUAUCGACUUAAGCUUUUGGGACAAAUGGUGAUUUCAACAAACAACGAUAAGUUGCAUAUUUGUCUUCCAUUUUCAGAAAGCAACUUCAGUUAAAAGAAAGCUUUCAAGCCAGUUCUUCAACAUGAAAGUGACUGUAGUUGAACUGUUAUUCUUAUAUCUGACCAUAGUAUGAUGGUGCAAUUCCUUCUAUAGUAAAUGUUAAAAUCACGCUUGACCAAAUCAUUUUCGCCACUUCUUUUGAUUUACGUCCAUUCCGUCAAAUAUUUGAAAACAGAUCUCGCUUUGCAGGAACUCACUUCCCAUGAACUCACCAGCACUACUCCACACAUUUAUAUUAAUAAUACUACCAAACUAGCUCAUUUCCUCCGGUAAACAAUUCUAAAUUCUCGAAAUCCUAAUCAUUAAUUCAUUAUCAGCGAAAAGGUCCAGAAAUACAAUGAUCCUUAACCUUCCAAAUGGGGAAGUUGUGACAAAAUAACAGGCUCAAAUUGCAUCACCAACUACUAAACUCGAUCCUCGAGCUAAUUUCACGGUAACUCGCCAGAACUAGAGCGCCAUUUUCGCUAAUUGAAAAAGAAAUAUGGUGCGAGUGGAUCGGGCAGACCACGAGCCGAUCCCUUCAGUCGACUCGAUUUGGUUCAUGGGCCCCACAAACUAGGUCCCGUGAUCUCAGAACAAAGCCGGGUCGGUCGGACCAAAUAAAUUUAGUCUAAAUCAAGAAAGGGUCCAAUGAAAAAUUUCUUGGCCCGUCCAACUAAUAAUUUCUCUUAACACUCAGACCCGACCGAUCCACUUUCCGGCCCAAACCUUUAAAUCGGAUCCAGAUAUAUUUUAGUCUCGACCCAAUCCGAUUCACUCGCAAACCUCAAGCUUAAAAACAAACAGGAACCGACCCUUCGAGAGGGUGGUAGGGUUUCAGACCUGCCAGACGGAGCAACCGGCGGAGUGGAGCCAGUCCAAGAAGCGGAACGCCUCGUCGCCGAGAUCCCCGAUCCCGUACGGCCCCGGCAGCGAGGUCGGAUGGAGCAGCACCCCCGCCCGCCGCUGCCGGCUCGGAUCCCCCGCCGGAAACCGCGACGCGUAGUCCUCCGGCAAGUCCUCCCCGGGGCGGACGGCCAGAUCUUCCGCCAGAGCCGCGGCGGCCGCCAUGGGCCAUCGACGGCUCCUCCUCCGCGACCAAGAUCUCACCCCUAAGGUUCGAGGGGUGGUGGCGGGAAAGGAGCGGGUGGUUCGGACGGUGGAGGAAGUGAAGAAGAAGGUGAUGAGAUCGGAGGAGAGGAGGAAUAAUGAUUGAGAGAGCGCCAUUAGAGACACACAGCACUGAGAGAGGGGUGAUGGGAUCCAAAGCGGAGUGAGCCAUAGGAGGCACGUGAUAAGAAGGGGACAUUGGAUCGUGGGCGGAGCCAGAUGCGAUACUCGCAUAGAAUGAAGUUUCUAUGCGGUAUUUUUUUUUUUUUUUUUGGUGAUAAUACCUCAGAGUUUGGAGAGAUCUCCUCAGCUGGAGACGUGGUAUUCGUGAACUCAUCCGGGCUGGCCACAUUUUUUUUCAUCGUUUAGUGGCAUUUUGAUCGCGAUCCGACUGCAUAGGGAUGGAAAGGGGUGGCACGUGGGUUUAAAUCUAAGUAAAAUACGAAUCCCAACCCAAUAACAUGAUCAAGUUUGGAUUUGAUUUUGAAUUAGAUUCAUUUUGGAUUUGGAUCAAUAGAUAAAUAUCCAAUGACUCUAUAUUUUAAAUAUUUAUUUUUUUAUAUUUUCUAUAUUUGUUGUUUUUUAAAAAAAUUUGUGGCUAAACAACCAUCUAAUAAUGCAACUUCAAUCGAGCAUCGGAAGAAACAAGAAAGAGGAAGAACAGUUGCAGAAACAGCUACGUCGGGAAAUAUUAAAGUAUCAUUAAUUUCUCUCCCAUAAAGACUUUUUUUUUGGAUAAUUCAUGAGUAAAUCAUUAAAUUUGUAAAUUGUUCCUGAAUAACAUAAUAAAUAUAAAAAUCAAUAAUUUGAAGAAAAGAAAAAAAAGAAGAGAGAGAGAGUUCUACCAGGCUUAACUCCUACCCUGCUUGUAAGGAGUAUUCAAAGAAAAGUUUAGUUUCUUAGCUGUUAGAUUCGUCCUUUAAGCGCUCGACUUUUAGAUCAUGUUUAUUUAAUGUUUUAUUCAGUUCUCCAUUUAUCACUUGUUAUUGAUUGAUAAGAUCCCCAGGAACGGAUAGCAGCAUAUCAAACAUACAUAGAUAUAGACGUAAAUAAAAUUUUUAAAAAAAGGACCCAAAAUCUGUGUAACAGGACUUGGAUCGCACUCCUGCGAUGUUCAAAUAUACGAAUCUAAAACAUUAAAAUACGCUGGGUACCAGUAUGAAGGCAGUACUGAUCUUCAGGAAAGACACCUAUUGAGUCAAACUUGACAUGGAUGCACGUAACAAAUAAAAGAAUAAUAAUGUUAAUAAAAAUAUAAUUUAAUGAGAAGUGAAUCUCUGAAAAUAAUAUCUUAUAUAAUGAUAACCCAUAUAUAUUGCUUCUCUAUAUUAAAGAUACAUAUAUAAUUAUCUUAAAGCAAAGCGUCUUAAAAUAUUUCUACAAUAUCUAAUUUAUGGCAAGGACCUUGCAAAAAGUCUAUUACCGUGUGAAAAAGGACCAACUGUGAUAUGACUAGGUGGCGAUUGAAUGGCUUGAAAUCAAAAGACUUAGGAUUCACCCAGGCUAUAAGAGUAACAGACAUAGCAGAGAAUGAUGUAGCUUUCUAUUAUUUUAUGUUUUUGAUUUUGGUUUUCUAGAGCGUGAAGUUUGAACCAUUUGGUGGACUAGUUGAGUGGUAACCUGAGGAUUCAUGGUGGAUAGAAAAUAAUUGGAUGGUUGUGAUGGAAGAUAGAAAUUGUAGGAUAUUAGAAAUUAAGAUUGACAUAUUUAUGAUUCUCUAGAAUUUUUGAUGAAUUUUCAGAUUUUUUAUUUGUGCUUUGCACGAUACGUAUGAGGAAUGACAAAAUAAUUACAACAGCAAAAGUAUCAAUUUAGCAUAACCAAAUCCAGUGAAGAGUAGUUUUUUUCUGUGAAAUUAAAACCAAUAUGUAUACAUGUAAAAAAUAAAAGAAAUGCUAAUAAAAAUAUAAAUGAAUGACAAGCAAAUCCGUGAAGGAUAAUUCUUUUAUUGACAUAAAUUUAUACCGACAAGGGAGACUUCUAGUAUGAAACAAAUGGGCUAUGUACGAGUUCCUACGCAUGUAGAAGGAACAGUUAAGUGGAACAUGGAAUGAUGUAAGCAAAAUUGUUUUGAAUAGCAGAUGAGCAACGCUAGGGGGUACCCCUGCACCCCCCUUAAAUGAACCUAGGAGAUUGAUGUUACUCAUUGGGGUAAGUUAGCCGGCCACGGAGGCAAUGAAGAGACCAGAACCUUUCGGUCACCUCAAGAAUAGCAAAUCUUUCUUUCCGACAACAAUAUCUCAACUCCAUCUGCGCUAUUCUUAUCCAUCUAUUUCCAUGUCCUUCUCUUCCUCUGUUUAAUACUUGCAGAGCCAACUAGCCUAGCAGUUUUCAUGCAGUGGAGCGCUAGCUAUUCAAUCACACAAGGUUUGUCGGACCCGCUUGAAACCAACUGGCAAUUUAUGAUUCACUCAACCCUGUGCGACGCCGCCAAAAGGUGGAAACGAUAAAAAAAGAGCAGUUUGCGCAGAUGGUAACAGACGCUCGGAUUUGUCUGAUUCUCAGAUGAAAAAGAUUACUGAGUCAAACAUCAUAACCAAUUGAUAAUCGAACAUCAUUCUCCAUUUGAAAAUAGCGAAAUUGUUGCCAUUAGCAAAAGUCUGUAGACAUCAUGCCCCCUCAGCAAAUUUUCUCGAGUACAGGAUAAAACUAAAAAUUGUACAACAAAAUUCCUUGCCGGCCUAAAUAUUGUAACCCGCGACCCAGUCUAGCUUUUUUGGAGUGAGAAGAAAGAUUUAUCUCCGAUUUACAUCUCCUAUAUACAAACUAAAAUGCCUUGAUACUACAAAAUUCACCUGCAGCAUCCUACAGCCAUUUCUUCUCUCAAUCCUCCUAUAAAACGCCAUAACUUCCGGGCCUAUAUCUUAUGUUAUAUUUUUAUCUUUAUACAAGUACCAUCCCUGCAAUCCAAUCCUUUCUGACAGCCACCGUCCAGUGAUGUUGGUAGGUCUCUUCCAAAAAAAAAUUGGCAACCUCGCCUGCUUCUUUACGGACCACAUUUCACCAAUAAUUUCAGGGCGGUCAGGUAGCAGGAAUGGAUGAGAUGAGCGAGCGCCUUUUAUGCGCCUGUGUUUCAGCCCAAUUUCGCCAACUUGCAGCCCUUCAGGUCCACUCUCAUUACUGCGGUGACCUUUGCAUUACAAAAGAAGCACCUCUGGCUGUUCAAGAGGUGCCUGGUAAUGCAGCCAAGGCAAGACCUGUGGUGACAGGGCCCAAAAAAAGCAUCACAAUCAGAGGCAUAGCAGAUGCAGCACUGGUUCUCCCCUUCAUCAUCUGUGCUAAUCCCUAAUUCUCCUAUCCCAUCUAGUGCCUCCGUUCUGCUUCUCAGGUAGUUCAGGAACUCCUCAAGCUGCGCUAGUUUUGCAAGAGAAGCAUCCCCUUGUAGGAUAUUGCUCUGCAUAAUUGCAACAAUCAAAAACAAUAUAAUGCAACGCAUCAGUGUGUGACAUAAGAAAAAAUUAUAGAAUUUUAGUACAUGAAGAUAUUUGUUAUGCACAUGCUUAUAGGGCAACAAUAGAAUGGAGUAUUAUGCUGUCCACUUUAUAGAAGAUGUUGCACAUCGCUACAUUUCAUGGUCUACUGCAGUCAGUGGCUUCUACCAAACAUGAUGCAGGGACAAGACAAUCACAUCUGAGUUCCAAGCAAAUGCAAACUGGGAAGAAGAUUCUAGCUUCAGAACGAAGUCUGACAAUAUUGCUUCAGUAAUGUCAGCUUGCCAAUAAUGAAUUAUGGCUAAGAUAGGAAUACUAAUGGCUCCUGAUAUGCAGCAACAUGGUAAUGUAUUUUCUAAUAAUAAAAGCAAGCAAUUUUGGAUGAACGAUCAAGAUGCUCAUCAAGGUUUGACUGAACCCUUGAGUUUCAGUUUCAGCAAUUUCCGUCUAAGUUCUAGAGUUUCAGUCAAAAAAGCUUUCAAAAAAAAUAUAUAGAAAAAUAAAUGGAAGAUAAAACAAGCCAAGAAAAUCUAUUACCACAAAAUUUUGGCGAAUUCAUAAUGUUUGGAUUCACCAGAUGAAUGCAUGUUUCAAGCUGAAAGUCCAAUAAUGCAAUAGCAUAAAAAUUAUAUCAGCUAACAAUUAGAAUGUUAGGAAAUCAUGUUAUACAUCAAUUUAGUGUUUGAUAGUAUCAUUCUGUUUUCUGCUAAAAAUCUAAUCAUCAAGACAUAGAUAUGUAAAUAUCUAAAGCAAAAUAUACAAAACUAUAAGAUAAAAUGCCACACCUAUACAAAUUUGAUAUGACAAUUACUCUCACACCAAGCUCCAAGAACUUGAGAUUUCUAUCCUUCCAUGCCAUCAAGUCCCUCAGCCUUUUCAAUCGAAAUUCUCUUGAUGACAUCUUGGCUUCUUGUAAUGAUCAUGGACCACAUCACACAUGUUAGCCAAAAGGUAUUACUUAGGUUCCUUAGCCCUAUAUAAAUACCCAAGAUUUUCUUGAUGCAACACCAAUGUGGUACUAAACACUUAUGUUAGACACUCACAUCUAGCACCCAGAAUCCGUGUUGGAUAAUAUCCAAGUCGGAUACGCAUUGUACACUUCGAUAGUUAUCAAUAUUUAUCAAUUGCAGUUUUUAGAGAUUGAUCAAGAGUUGACUCCAUUAAUGAGUUAGAAUCACUAUAAUAUUUUUAAAAUGAGGUUUUCUUCUUUUCAGAGAUUGGUUAAGAAUGUAAAUAUUAAAAUGAUUUCAUAGAUUGUCAUUUUCCUAAAAUCUGAAGCUACCUAGGAAAUUUGGAUGAGGAACAUGUAUGUUAAAAGACCAUAACAAAUAAUAUCUUUUCAUGCUUCCUUUCAUACAACACCUAAAAUAUAAAGUUUUGUCAAUAUUAAUUCUUUUCGACAUAUCCCGUAUCUUCUUUUUAUCCUCUUAACAAGUCCUGAAUCCAAUUCUCAUGUUCAUGGCCAUGUAGAUGUAACACAACUAAAAAACAUGCCCAUAGGGGUCCUCACAUAAUCCCCUUGUUUAAACCCUAGCAUGAGUGGCAUUCACGAAGGAUCCCAAUCUAACAAAAUCCAACCACAAACACCACAAUAGACACAUGGUCAGCCUUAAAAGGGUUUGUGGUGUACUCCACAUGAACCAUAGUUGGGUUUGCUCUGAUCCUAUUUGCAUCAACUUAAAACCUCAUCCGAAAAGGCUAGCCAAAAGAUUUUAUUUGAAUCUCUUGACUCUGUAUAAGUACCUAAGAUUUCCUCAAUACACAACUAAUGUGGGACUAUAUACAUGCCCACACAGAUCCUCUCAUAAGGGAGGAGACUUAAUUAACAUGUUCUUUCAUUUUUCUAGAAAGAGCAGAAUUCGAAAAUUCUUUCUCUAACUUAAACUAAACCAUUAUAAGCCAAAUUUAGAAGAAAGAAGCUCUCACAAUGUUAAUAAGUUGAGUAUUGCAGGUGGACAUGGAUAAAAUUGGUUUGACUUGGCUAGCCUGAAAAAGGAUGGGACUAGGUAUGGGUUUCCAGCCUACAGGGUCAAAUCUGGCCUAGAAUCCAUGACUUAAAUAUUUUUCUAACCAAACUCAAGCAAACUGGAAGUUCCAUGGCCCAACAUAAAACAUUAAGAAACAUUUUCUUCUAUUAUAUAUAAAUCCUAAUCUAAUCCCAACACUUUUCUUGUGCUCAGCCCUUGCCUCUCUCCUUCCCCCAUCCUCUCUAACCCAUCGAUCCUCUCCCCCCUCACGGCCACCAACUUGCACCAGAGCUGCAUGGACACGGAUAUGAGAAUCAGUUUCAGACAUAUUUCCAACUAUGUGACUCAACAAGAGUGAGAAUGGGAGAUAUAGGGAUACGGGAGAUAAAAUAAAAGAUAUUUUAUAUAUUUAUUUCUUUGAACAUUGUUAUAUAUUAAAAUAUUGAAAAGUUAUUGUUUGUUAAGAUCUUUUAACAUAAAUGCUUUGAAUCAAUUAAUAUAUAUAUAUAUUUAUGCCAAUUAACUUAAGGAUAUAAGAAAAAUUAUAUUUUACAAACUUGUUUCAAUAUUAACAUCCUUGAACCAUCUCUAAAAAGAACAAAUACUCCUAAUAUUAAUAAAGGGAAUCAAACUCGUCGUUGAAAAAGUUCAACGCUUUUCCAAUCUCUAAGAGUGACUACCAAGGAACUUCAUGAGUAUGAAAGUGUCCAGUGCGUAUCGAGUCAGAUACGUAUCAGAUAUCAAUUUUGGAGCUGGACAGGAGUGUCUAGGUAACACACGCAUGCACCACUAGGAUGAUCUCUUAAGUGAACCAUCCCCCCUUAAUUCUCUCUUGUUGCUGCUAGUUCCCUGGUUCCUCUCUUGACCUCCUUCCUUGCCACUAGUGAUUUCAAGUGCUCUAGCUCUCCUUGCCCUAACCACAACAAAAUCCAACACAACUUCCUUCUUCUUUCUCCUCCAUUGGUGUCAAUUCCCAUGCUUCUCCCUCCCUCAUCCGUGCUAUGGUUGCAACUAAGGCCCUGUUUGGCAGAGCUGUUCAGUAGAGCUUUUGGAAGUAAAGCUUUUUGAAGCGGAGCUUUUAUAAAAAGUUACUUGCUGUUUAGUAACUACAUUUCUAAAGUACUGACACUUUAACAUGUGUUUGGUAAACAAACUGAGAAGUACUUUUGGUAUGACAAAAUAACCAUAAAGGACAUUGUAUAAUAUUAUACAAUAGAGCAUAAUAAAAUAUAAUAUAUAUUAAUACAUAAAUAUAUGAUAUAAUAUAAUAUUACUGUAAUGUAAUAUAAUAUUAUUAUAAUAUAGUAAUAUAAUAUUGUAUACUAUAGCAUAAUAAUUUAAUAUAAUAUUAAAUUAUUUAACAUAGCAAAUCAAUGUAUUAUGAUAUAAUGUAAUAUAGUAUUAUAUUUAUAGUAUAAUAUAAUAUUUUCUUCUCAUCUUGGGUUGAUGGACCAGCAAGGGUAUGUUAGCUCUUCUUAGAAAUUUGUUCUUCUUACAAUACAACAACAAAGACAUGAAACAUUUUGUCAAUCAUAAGUCAUGAUUUCAUCCAUAAUCAUAAAGCACCUUGUAAAGCAUAUCUAAAUAUGUACAAUUUACAUACAUAUAGAUUACGUACAUAUAUAACUUACUUAGAUAUUAAUUUCUUGUACAUAAAUAAAAUUACUCAUGCAUUCAAAAAUAUAAUUAAUACGUAAACUUAUUGCAUAGAUUCCAUAAGGCCACUAAAAGUAACAAUUUACUACAGAAUUCUAAAGAUGUCGAUUGAAUUAAUAUUAUAUACAUGAAUUAUCAAUUAAAUUAAUAUUCUAAAGAUACUCUCUAAUAUUCUAACAAUUUACUAUCAAUUAAUAUUCUCUGCUCUGUAAUAUAGAGAGAGAUCCUCUCUCUGCUCUGUAACAGAGAGAGAACUCUCCUAGUAAUAGAGAGAUCCUCUCUCUGUAACACGAUGGAUCUCGCAGUCCACCGUGGUCAAUCGUGGGAGUGGGUGGACCGCGACAUCACGGUCCACGCUGAGAGGUGGACCACAAUGCCGCAGUCCACGCUCAAAGGAGGACCGCGAUGUCGCGGUCCACGCUGAGAGGUGGACCACGAUGCCGCAGUCCUCUAUCGCCCUCUCUUCGUUUAAGCCUGGACCGCGAUGCCGCGGUCCAUAUCCUCUCUGGUGCAUGGACCACGAAGAACCGUGAUGUCACAGUCCAUGCUUAGAGGUGGAUCGCAAUGUUGCAGUCCUCUAUCAUAGAAGAUGAAAAAGAGAGAUCGAUGGAAGACAGAUUGUUUAGGAAGAAAUGGAGAAUUAUAAAAUUUUUUUCCUAAAACAGGAUUCAAAACGAUGCAUACAAAAAUAGAAAAAAAGAAUACCUUCUUCAUGGGAGAGAAUCUGUUCGGCGACUAGGGUUUCUUGUUGGGACUCCUACAGAUUUUCAGGAUUAUAAAGAGACAUUUAGUGUAAUUGUUAUAUUUUAUCAUAGGUAUUUUGGCCAAAAAAACAGCUUUCUGAUGGAAACUAAAAAUGCUUUUCCAGAGAAGCUCCAAAAUGGAGUUUCUUCUAAAAAUCUAUUUUUAGCUUUCUGAAAAAGCUAAAGUAGCUUCCCAAAAUUUUUACCAAACACCCCUAUUUCAUCUAAAAGUGCUUUUGGAGGGCCAAAAAGUGCUUUUUGGCCCUCCAAAAACUCUACCAAAUAGGGCCUAAGAAUGGAGAUAAAUCAACCCAUGCCUUAAGUAAUUGGCCAGGCCGGGUUAGUUCGAGCUUGGAGUCUAGCUUUUGAGCAGGACACCACGAUGCAACAUAGGAUGCAGCAAACAAGUACUAUAACCAACUGGACCAUGCCAGGCUCAAAACUGAGAAUUGGUUUUGGCCAAAGGCCCAAAUUUAAAACCUUAAUGCUCAAUGAACAAGGACAAUAUUAAGUGCCCUCCAAUGUUAUGCAAAGAGCAAGUGAAUUGUCAACAUACAAGCUAGACAAAAGAAUAGAUUAUAAAUUGCAUGCAAUGAAAUAUGUCAAAGUCCAUGACACAAGAAUUUAGAAUUUUUUAUUAAAAAAAGUGAUAAAUCGCAGUUGGCAUAUGAAACAUAGUCUAUUAUAAUUCUCCAACAUGGUAAUCAGAGAUUAUCGGAGUGCCAAAUGCCUCCGGAAUGUUUGCUUCAAUUCCCACACUCACGCUCUAUGCUACCACCAACCUCCUAAGACUAAGCAUCUUAAAUUACAGUUGUAUUCUAUCAAAACCAACUAUAGUUCAAUUGAACUACUCCAUUAGAAGUUCUAACAUCUCAAGGUCAACCUAUCAUGUGUUUGCUAAAAUGCAACGCUAAGGAGAGUGCCAACUCCUAAAUUUUUCAAGAGAUUUACUUCACUACUUCUGGACUAGAAUCCACUCACACACUCUUUUGGUUUAAACUGCUAUUUUCUAGAGCAUUAUUACACCAUUCUAGUUUCAAUGAUAAUUUAUUGUUAUAUGAUAAUUAGCUAUUUGAGUUUUACACCAUUCUAGCUUCAAUCAUAAUUUAUUGUUAUAUGAUAAUUAGCUAUUUGAAUUUUUCUUUUUUCUUUUUAUUUUUUCGAGAGAAAUUCUGUGGUGCUUUAGCAAGUCCAUAAUUCAAAAUCAAACAGAAAUAGAAGAUCAAGCACAUGAGAUUCAAGAAAUCUAACCCAAUCAUAACUCAAGAGGUAUUGAAAUCCAAAACGAACUGUAGCAGGACAAUCCAUGUUUGCAAACACCGCUACAACAUCAUUCAGUUCCUGAUUUCCAGAAUCUGCACUUGCAUCCAUGAGGUUAAGGAUGAUGCCGACAAGAGGUGCAAGGAUCAUAGUCCUACUUGAUUUCUCUUGAUGUUGGCUAGGUCGCCUAAGUAACCUACAAAAGGAGCAUAAAAAAUAAAUUUAAAAAAUAGUAAUCGGAGAGAUGAAAAAAAUUUGAAGGCAAUGCACUGACUUGACCUUUAAAAAUUGAUAAAUAAAAUAUUUUUAAAACAGCAAAUGCAGCCAAAAAAAAGACUCAAGUCAAGAAUUUAAUGUAUCAUAAAUCAAUUAAAUAAAUUUUUGCAAGUCAACUAACACUUAGGCCCCAUUUGGGAUUGAUAUUGAUAGUAAAGCUUUUAAAAGUAGAUCUUUUAGCAAAAAGUUGUUUAUUGUUUAGUAACUAUAUUUCUAAUGUGCUAUGAAACAUAUACAUCUGCUUGGUAACUAAACUAAUAAAGUGAUUUUAGUAUGUCAAAAAAAUAAUAAAAGACAAUGCAUAGUAUUAUAUAGUAUAGUAUAACAUAAUGUAAUAUUAUAUUAUAUUUUAUCAUACAGUAUAAUAUAAUAAUAUAACAUGAUAUGAUAGGAUAUGAUAAAAUAUAAUAAUAAAUUAUUACAUAGUAAAAUAUUAUUACAUAGUACAAUAUUAUUAUAUUAUAUUAUAUUAUUGUAAUAUAAUGUGAUGUAAUAAUAUAAUAUAAUUAUAAUAUAAUGUGAUAUAAUAUUAUAUUGUAUAGUAUAAUAAUAUGAUAUGAUAUAGUAAUGUAUUAUUACAUAUUAAAAAAUUAUUGCAUAGUAUAAUUUUAUUAUAAUGAAUAUAAUGUAAUACAAUAUUGUAAUAUAAUUAUAUUGUAUUAUAUUGUGGUAUAAUAUUAUAUUGUAUGGAAUACUAAUCUAAUAUUGUUAUAACAAAAUAUAAUAGUAUAUUAUUAGAAUAAUAUAAUAUAAUAAUGUAAUGAUAUAAUAUAAUAUAAUAUAUCUAUGAUAAUAAGUAAUGCAAAUACAUGAUUGGUUCCUAGGCAUUUUGGUCAGUAUGAAAUUUUCUACAUCAUAAGCAGCCUCCUGACAUCAACCAAGUAGAUCUUUUAAAGAAAAGCUCCAAAAUGGAGCUUCUCUUAAAUGAAUGUUUAUCAGCUUUGUCGGGGAAUCAUAAAGUACUCAUUUUUUACCAAACACCGCCAUAUAUCCUAAAAGAGCUUUUUCCGCUCCAUAAAGCAUUUUCUAUGCCUCCAAAAGUGUUCCCAAACAAGGCCUUUGUAGUUAGUGCUACAGUAAAAAUUCUAGUUCUUCAAAAGACAACAGAUCAAAAUUACUUCCAUAACACCAACAAGUUCUUUACUUUCAAGGAGAGUGGGUUAAGUGAAUUCUAGUUCAAAAAUCAGCAAUAAAUUUGUAGUUUCAGCUCAAUAUCCAUCACUUUUGAAGAAAGCUGUAAACAACAAGUUUAAUAUUGUCUAUAUGGGAUGCUUUUACAAAAAACUUACUUCACCACUACUCCAAUUAAGGUACUACCAAAUGUCAACAUAAGCCUGUCCGGAUCUUGAUUUAGUUAGAUUAACUUGAGGCCUCUUUCUUCUGGAGAAUUGCAUGCAAGUACAGGUCCUGCCUCCAUAUUGGAAUGUCAGAUUUUCUUAUACAUGGCCACACAAUCUCAUUAAAUUUUCCACUCAUUAUACUCGAAUCCUGCAACUCCAACAAUUCUUUUAGGUAAUUAUUCUAAGUUUAUCCUUUCUUCUCUAAUCAUGCAUCUGGUUUGAUGUUUCUCACAUCUUAUUGGUCUUAUUGCCAAACAUUCUGAUAAGAAAAAUGCAUAAGUACAAAACAAGAUUUUUAACUUACAAGUCAAAAAGCUCAGCAUCCACACCCAAAAUUAUGUGGUUCAAAAUAAAGAUGACCAAUUCUGUUAGCCUCCGAAGAUUCAUGUCAGGCCCCAAAAUGAAUGCUUGAGGGAUCUCACGUGUACAGAAUUCCAGUAUCCUUGCAAGACUGCAUGAAAGAUCAAAAACAACACCACAUUUUCUUUGCUGCAAGUCACCAAUCUGCAAAAGAGAGUUUCCUCUCAGGAUUCAACAAAUCAUUACAGAAGGAAAAAAGAAACAAUAGCAUCGAAUCAGUAGUAUUCAAGUUUGCAGUCAGCCAAUCAUAAGAAAAUAUCAUCAAUGAUCAUGUAUUUGUGGAACUUAAAUAUUACAAAGUAUAGCGCAUAGAGUAGAAAUCUUCAGCGCCAACAACGAUUAAGCAUAUUCUGAGAGCAACCAUGAAAUUCUAUUCAGCAAAUCAAUGGAAAAACACUGUUUCAAACUGAAAAUACACAUCUGAUGACUACUCUACAAUUAGAGGUAUCCAUUGAUGAAUUUUUAACUUUUUCCAAUAAUUUUUCAAUAUUUUUUUUAACUAAAUGGAACUGCAAGGGCCUCAUUAUGAAAUAUCGAUUUUAUUAUUAUCCCAAUGGUGCCUGCAGAAGUUUCUAAAGACCUACCAUGAGAAACUGAAGAUUUUCAGAAAAUGAACUACUCAAUACAACAAAUUAAGCACUAAAAAAAGAAUGCAAGUGAUUUGCAACCGCAGACUGCCCUAAUUUCUGUCACUCAGCAAAUCAGAUUUGCAAUGAAUCAGCUUACUAAUCCAUACACCAGAAAAUAACAAAAAGUAAACCUGAUAACUCUCCUGCAUCUCUCGAAUGGACACAGAGAACUCAGUCAUGCUCCAGCUAAGAGUGUUGAAAAGCCGAUUAAGGAAUGAAGAGAAUAGCACUUCAUCAUGGACGCAUGCCUCUCUUAAUAAGACCUUCAUGAUGCAAAAGGACCAAAACAACACAUUACACAAAAUAAAAAGGAAAGAUACAAUACAGACAUAGCAAAAAUGACGAGGUAUCAUAUUGUUGUCUAACCUGGAAAAGUGCAGAUGACGAAGUUUCCGCAUGCUUUGAGGAACCAAAUCCUGAACCUUUACAUAGCUUUACUAGUAUGUUCGUGACUGGAAUCCAGGAUCUGUUAUCAAAUGCCAACAGUAAUGCCCUUGGCAUUCUCCUAACAGCUUCCUUGUUAUUCUCGAAAGCAAUCAAAUAAUCCUUGUAUUGUACUAAGACUGAUAUCGAUUGGAGAAGAAGAUCUUUUAUGUCUGCACUUGAUAUUCGUGGAUCAUUGAAGUGCUUCACAACAAAGGUUAUCUGAUAACAAAACAUGGAAAAUUCAAACUAUGAGUUUCCUAGCCAAGUAUCUCAAACUGAUACAAGAUACACCAGGGAAACUGCAUACUCAAUCCUUAUGAGGUUCUUCUAAUUUAGACAGCUGCUCAUGACAUUAAUUACCAAUCACUUCCAGUUUAGGUUGGUUGUCUGUUGUGAUCACAGUCAUUAAUGUAUCUGCAAGGAUCUCUGAUUUUCUUACUAUAUGAUUAUACAAUUGUUCAACUUGAAAUCUUUUUAGCAGCCUUUUAUCUGAUCAACAAAGCCUCGUUGGUAUGAUCAAAGUGUUCGAAUUAAUAUAUGAGACAAUAUCAGGGCAAUAUUGCUCAUAUGUCAAACUUAACUAUCUAAAAAAUCAUCAAUCAAAAAAUAUGGUUUAUUUAUUUACAAACUCAAGCAUAUUUAACUUACCCAGUUUGGUUAAAUUUACAAUGUUUAAUUUGCCCACACCAUUUGUCGAUCAUCUCCUCCUAUCAUGAUCGGUUCUAAGUUAUACUUAAGUUAUCCAAAACAUGUCUUUGUUUUAAACAUUUAAACCAUUCAUUAUGAAUUACAAUGCCAGAUUUAUUAGCUCAAAAUUGCGAUCUAUCUUCGUGACACAGCUCUAUAUGUCAUUUUAUUAGACCCAUUUUGUAUUAUUGCUGUGAACAGUAAGAAUGUAGCAUACUGCAUGCUCAUAAAUUCAAUUUUAACUAAUACAUAAGAAGCUAGUUAACAAUCUGGAAAUGAUUAAGCAAAAUGAAUAGAGAAAUAUAGUCAUACUUUAUGUAACACCCUCAAUUUUCCUAGCUAUAAUAACAGCAAGCUAAUUGACCAGUAAGACUAAUGAGACCAAAUAGUAAAGUAGCACUCUUGUUAAACUAGAAGAUUUCAUGGAAGCAAAGAGCAGAUCUACUGGUUUUGAAAUCUAGCAGGAUGCAAUAUCUAUGACUAUCACCAUUAUCUUAGUCAUCAAGCUUAUCCAACUACUUGGACACUGCACGGUUACAGCAUAGAAUUUGAAGCUAUAGCCCCCCUAGAGAGCAGAUCCACCAUCAGAAUGAGAACAGUCGAUCCAGAAAAACAACCCUAGGUCAAUACAUAAAUAGUUGGCAUGCACAUUUGCCUGGUAAAGUCUAGAAAUUUGGGAUUUCAUGCAUUAACCAUCAAACUUUCAUUCAUAAUCGCAACAUCAUGUCCCUAGGUUUCCAAAUUCUAGAAGUCAAAAAAAAAAGGUAUUUCUACAUAAAACAGCCAAUCACACAAUCAACACAGCUAGCUAAAACAAGUUGUCAGUAUCCACACCUCAAGGGCACUUUUCGUCAGGUUUUCAUGAAGCCCAUAGCUCGCUCAAACAACUAUAUUUAAAAUAGAGAAAAGAAAACAAGUAUUGCAAUACCCUGACCAUAUUUCUCAUGUAAAUAUUCAUUUAUAUGCUAGGUUGAGUCACCAUGUCCAAAACUUCCCUAGCCAGGAAAACCAUCUAAAAAAAAUCUCAAAUAGUUUGAAGAAUGACAUGGGAAUACCUCAAACACCAAGGUGAAUAAAAAGCAAAGUAAUAUACCUUUUCAUGAACCCUGGCUAAUAAACUCCUAAUCUGAACCAUUUAAAAAUGGAAAUGAAGGUAGAAGAAAUGUGAACAUAUUGAACCCCUUUCAUCCUGCCUCAGAAACAACUUGUUCAUUGAAAACAAUAUGGAUAAUAGUACACAUGACAAUAUGCCUUCUCCAAGUCAAACCUACAAACUUUGAGCCUUCUAAAAGCAAGUCACCCAGUGCAAUGAUAAAUGCAAACAACAUUGGCAUGCACUUGGAGGCACAUUGUCAAAGAUAUCAGUGCACCUGAUACUUCUCAUAGUCAUUGGGCAACGGCACCAGCCAUGGUUUUGAAAGAUUGUUCAAUAAGUGGUCGACACAAUAAUGUUACCCACUCCUUUUUUAGGAUGUAAGAAGACAGAUGUUGCAUACAGAAACAUCACAAGACCAUUGAUUCUAGAAAAAUACAUUGGCACUUCAAACAAAUUAACCAUACCGAUCUCCAAGAAGUUGUCUAAGUUUUUUUCCCUCCUUCCAGAAACAAUCUCUGAAGGUCCCUGUCCAAUUCUGAAAAUAAUUCAUGAUCAUGCUAUGCAUAUCCAUAAAGCCAUUUAUCUCCGACCAACAACUUUGAUUCUUAUACACAAUUAGCUGAAGUGUCUCCCAUAUGCCAACUAUAGGCAAAAUAUGAUACCAUGUCACCUCUUCUCAUCAAAUGGCAUAACAUUUUUUAUCUCUGAGAAAUUUCCUUCCUUUUUAACUAAAAAUUAAAUUCAUCAAAACCAAGUUUUGACACUCAUUCAUUUAGAGAUUCCCGCCGAGUAUAUCAUAAUAAACUCAUCAAAGAUCUUAUCUAGAAAAUUCUACGAAUGUUCUUUCCAUUGCACCUUCAUAUUUACCUUCACAUGCUCUGUGUUGCACUUCCCACCCCGUCUGCCUACAAUUUAGAGAGACUCGAAUCCAAGGAUUCUGUAGCGAUGUACCCAUGUGGAUCAAAAAAUAAGGACUACAGCCAUAUUUUCUGUUCAAAUGAGAAAGAUAUGAUUCAAGGUUGGCCUACGAAUGACAACUAGAAUAACCAGUGGAAUUGCCCCUCCCAUUAAUCAUGCAGAAAAAAGCCAACCAAUCAUGGAGUCUUCACUCUAGAAUUACUGAACCUACUCCUUAUGGUUGGACCUAUUUCAAGUGCCUGCAAGAUUACUCAAAGUCCUUCCCAUUCAACCUCCUCCUCAUGAAAGAGAACCAAGUGAUAAUACACAUAUACACCUGAGGCUGAGUCCUUCCAAUGCCAACAAGCCCUCUUCAAUCCUCCCCAAAAAUUCAAAUAACUUCCAAGAUCCCCAGGCUCCUUCUAACUCCUGACCUCCAUUGAUGCAUUAGGUUUCUCUUAGGAAAUAAUGCCAUCAUCGUACAUUAUAGAAUUUUAACCUAAAGAUUUAGAACAAUAUUGCAAACAAAAGAAAAGUUAAACAAAGAACUCUUAAAACUAAAAUAUUUUACAUGUACAGAUGUAUUUUUAGCAUGCUCUGCCGUACCACCCCGUACUGCCUGAUACGUGGCAUACCAUAGUGUACUGAGAGAAAACUGGUAUGAAACUUUACUUCAAGUCGGUAUAAGCCCCAUACCGCCUGUACCGACCUGUACCGAGGCAAUCUAUAUCGACCUGUAUCGAGACGUACCAGUAUAAAAAUUGAGAAAAAAAAUAUUAGAGAGCUACUUCAGUACAGGGUGCUAUCGUACCGUACAGAAUCAAUAAGGCACCGAUACGGUACCUGGUACCGAGAAUACCGAUCUUGAUUUUUAGUUUUCUAUAAUUUUAUACAUACUACUAGUAUGAACGGUUACGUUGGUUUUCUUGUUGCAGCUAUUAAACACUGACUCGAAUCUGCAAUGUUAUACACAUCUAUAGAACUGCAUCUUGCAUCCUACUAGUAAUGUUUACUACAGCAAGAGAAGGAUAAAAAAAUAUAUUAAAAAGCAAUGGCAUUUAAAUGCUUCUCAAAGGGAGGAAAGGCUUCACAGCUGACACAUACAAAUGGAGCAAGCCCUUGUUUGAUAAAAAUUGCAGAAGAAACAAAAGGAGGAUCACUCCUGCGCAAUGCAUGGAAACAGUCAACCUGCAAAAAGUUAUAAAAGAGCUUUCAAUUUAAUUCGCCAUCAUCAAAAAAAUUACUUAGAAAUACGAAAUCUACUGCCUCGUGCACACAAAGCCUGGUCACACUGCCUAUCAGUAACUGAUGCCAGAGAAUGUGGGUCCUGACCACUUCAACACUUUGGCAUUAAACCUGGGCACACAGCAUAACCAGGCUGCAACUGCACAUCUUUAUGCACAUAAGCAUGUGCAUUAAGCAUUACUCAUGACAAUAUUAUAUUAGAUGUAGCCAGAUGGGAGAAACCAAAUAUUCAUGUACCACGGAUUCGACAUAAUAUUCUGGAACAUAAAGGAAAAUAGAAUCAGUAUUGCUCAGAACCAAGAGCAGUUCCACAAUCCACAUGCAUGUUGCAUACAUUCCUCUUUGCUUCCACCGAGAAAAAAGAGAAAUGCGGUACCUGCAGCACAUAAAAAAACAGACAACAGCAUUCAGAUUGGAACAGCCACAAUAGUAAAGGAACUGACAAAGACAUCACAAAAAUACAUGUCACCACACCUUAUCACAAGAACACAUCAGCAAAAGAGCCCCAAAUCAAUCUUCAAACAGUCAAAACUUAGUUUAAAAAAUAUUUUUUAUUUUUUAAAAUGAAUUACACAUAGUCCUUUCAAACUAUCACAACAGCGUUGACAAAGCAGAAAAACCUAUUAUAUGGAAAGCAAGCAUUUGUUACUCAUUUUGUUUAUAAAGCAUCUUUUUCUUUCUUUUCCCUUGACUAACUAAUAUCAGAUAGAAUAUGAUACCUUAGAAGGAUCAAAAUUUUCAAUAUAACAUGGCAGCAUUUACAAUUCCAAAGCCAAGCCACCAUCAAUGACAGAGAACUGAAGAAACGCAAGUCUAGAAAACCGAGAAUGUUCAGCUAUUUUAAGUAUUAUAUAUUUUAUACAAAACAGUAAUACCACACUAACAACUGCAAAACCAAACUUAUGUCAGUAAUACACAAUCAAAAGAUGGCAGGUCUUAGAAAAGCAAGAAGGUUUCAGGAGAAAAAAGUAUCAGACAUCUUUAUAAAUCAUCAUUAUGUUUCAAUACUUGGCAUAAAAAGAUAAACCAAAAACAAUGCUAGCUUGGUAUAUACAGAUACAGCAUCCACCCCAGAUGUGCAAUCCAUAUGUCACAUAUUUCUAACAUUAAUGCAAAUAAUAAAAAUGGUGAUUUAGGCACAAUAUAUAAAACCAUAUUACUUCUCAACUCAAACUUGUUGAAAUAAUUCAUAUGACAUAAAAAUAAACCUUCAGAAGAAGUAAUUCAAUGAAACAGAAAAGACUGCAGCAUUUUUAUCUUUGUAGAAAGACCAUGAAUAAAAAGGGAAGGUCACGAUGCUCAUCCUCAUGGCAUCACAAACAAGUAUGAACAAGCUGGAUGAUAACUUGUAUGAGAAACUUAAAAAAAGCAUAUAAAGAACUGUAAAAUGCCAAACUGAAGAGAUAAAUGGCAAGUAGCAGAAAUGAAACUGUGCACUGGUAUUCUUACCAUGCACAUUGUCUGACACAAUCAACUAAUUCUUCACGAUAAACAUUACGAGCUUCCUUUAAACGCUUUACUUGCUCAAUGCAAGAUCUUUCUCUUAUUUGUUUAUCAGUGUCAUCUAAUAGAGAGAUUGAUUGUGACUGAUGUGUCAUGUAGUAGAAUGCCUGCAUUUCAUGAAUCUGUGUCAACUUCUGUUGAUGGCAUACAAAUGCAAAAAUAGAAUUUUAAAUUCUAUUUAGUGCAAAACCAAUAGAAGAUCAAUUACAAUGAUAAAAAGAAAAAGUUCAGAAAAAGUUCAUAGUUGGUGUAGGCAAAUAAUACAAGUAUACAAAUUUUGAACUGGAGAACAAAUUAAAUGCAUCUCAAGGUACAGUCAGAUAGUAUACACAACAUGAAGCAGCUCAGAUAAGUUCGGUUAGUAUACAAAUUGACAUCUGAAAGCUGGAUACUCGAUGAAACUCUCAUAUCGUGACAAAAUAGCGAGAAUCAAACUUUAACAGUCACGACACACAAGAGAUCAACUUUGACCGCUAUUUUGCAUGGCUGCCAUCAGUUAAGCUAGAUGAGUUCAUCCUGAAUCUAAUAGACUCCAAAUAUUGCUCCAUAUAUUGCAAAGAAAGCUACCGUCCAUAACUUGCGCUCAAAGAAAACACAAACUUAAAAAAAAAAACACACAAAAUAGGCAAUAGGAAUAGAGUAAAUUUAAGAUUAAACUGAUAGUAUAAGGAUUAAAGAGUCCCUCAGAUCAUAUAUAUUGCUAAUAACUACUUGGCCUUUGCUAAGAACAAUGUAAAUGAGAGGGAGGAAAAAGGAGUUCAGAUCCCUUCAUGUGCAUUUAUGUUGUUGGUGAUCCAAGGUUAAUUCUUUUACACCCCAUGUGUAGUUCUCUCAAGAUAUACAUCCGUUGCAUUUUCUUGUGUGCGUCUGUGUCUCCGACCCAAGAGGGGAAUUCUAUGGCAGUCCAAUUAUGAACUGUUUCCCUCUCCAACCGCUAACAAUUUUCUUUAGAAUUCUCCUUAGGUUAAGGAGAUUGACUGGCAAUGGGACCACCCAGCAAGUCCACGCUUUUUAUGAGAGUGCUCUUAACAGUUGGUUUUCUUGCACAGAAAUUUCUAUCAUGAAGAUGGAAAAAUUUGAUAGAAGUUCUUUCAGCAAACCCAGAUUUUUUUAAAAUUUUAGCAACACCAAAGCNNNNNNNNNNNNNNNNNNNNNNNNNNNNNNNNNNNNNNNNNNNNNNUACUCUCUCUCUCUCUCUCUCUCUCUCUCUCUCUCUCUCUCUCUCAUGCAUGCGCAUGCUUUAUGUUUUGCUGUUUUAAUUAAAACAUUGAAUGAAACCUAAGCAUGAGCACAGUCUCUCCCUGCCUUUUAGUGGCAUGAGAACUAAGAAAAGAGACUGACAUAUCAGUUUUAGUUUUUAUAUAUUGGAGGGUGGUUUCUUUCUUGCUUUCGGCAAAUGUUUUGAAAUCUCUUCUCCUCUCUCAUGGCAUUAAAAGAGUCAAGAUCUUGAAGAUAAAGGCGCUUGGCAUAUUUAAUAUUAAUUUUGAUAUCAUGCUUAUAAUACUCUUUCAUAUUGUAUACUCAACCCAGUUAUAGUACAAGAAUGGUCUUCAAUUAUGAGUUUUCAUCUUUAAAAAAAAUACAUUUCAUACGUGCAAUGUCAGAAAUUUAUAAUGGCAGCCUGAUAAAACACAUUAAUUAUAAUAAAAAUACAUUGAUCAUUCUGUUAAAAGUUAAAACAGUGAUUCAGUAAAAUUCAUUUAUAAAUUGUUUAUUAAAGUCAUUUUCUUACUAUGCAGAAUAUGGUAAUGCUCAAUAGGUAAAACUUGCAGGCGGAAGAGGGUUGACAAAGAUGAAUCCUAGCUCCACCUGUCUAGUUGUACUCAAACCUAAGGUUAAGUAGCAAAGUGAGUGCUCUAUUUACCGCUGAACUACCAAAUAUUCGUAUACUCGGGGAGUAAGAUAUCAUGUACCAGACUACAGGGGCCUGCCAGCCUCGCACAAGUACUCUGUCAUGUCCUGGUACUGCUAGGCAACUUGGCAUGCACUAGCAUUGCUGUACAGUCAAGCACAAGAUCACAACAUCUACUAUGCUACAUUAAUCAUGUUGACUACGGGUAUGCUUGCACACAUAUUCUAAGCUGCAUCACAGUUCACCAUUAAUUUUUUUCACUUUUACAGCUCAUUCACCAAAGUCAUUUGCAUGCACAUAUCAGAUUCAACGCAUAUUAAUGUCCCUCUCCCAAGAAAUAUUUUAUUUUGCUUCUUCCUGGGUUUUUUUCCCUAAAAAAUCAAGGUAAAAAAAUACAAGGACGCCCAAAACAUUAUCUGGCAAAAAUUAUGGAGUCAGAGACCUGCAUAUCUUCAAAAAUAAUAUCCUAGACAUAGUCUUUGAAGGCAAGUUGUAAACAGCAUCGACUAGAGGACUAUGGAAGGAUGGUAUUAUUUCUUGAGAUUGUAUUGGUCUACAUAAGUGCUUCACUGGAGAGGUGUAAGUUUUUCAAUAUUAUUUAUUAUGCUUUCUUCCUUUUCCUCUUCAAGUUCUCAUCCUUUGAUUUCUUAAUAUGCAGGUGCAUGCCUUUGUCUUCUUGCUCUAACUUUUAUGACUUCUUACAGCUUCUUUGAAAAUAAGAAACUUGUCAAAGUUCGCCAAGAUAGAUCUUCAAAUUCCGAACUUAAGUCCACAUUAGAAUUGUUCUAAAUUUUCUCGUUUUUUGCAAGUCAUAAUAUAAAUAAUUCCACUACCAGCAUCUACACAAUAAUCAGUAAAUCAUUCCUUUGGCAUUACCAAACAGUAUUUUUUUCUAUAUAUAUGAAAGUAAUUAAGUCAGAUCAACAUGGCAUCAAAAAUUAAUUCGGGCUUCCCAUAAAAGGUUGGCAGCUGCUAGACUAAAUCAUAAAUACAUAAUAACAUAAUGUACAUUUCUAUAACAAGGUCAAUGGCGAUUGUUAAAGGCACAUCAGAAAUGUGCUUUAAUCCUAUUUAGAACACUAUAAAAAAAAAGAAAGGAAUAUGCACCAUCCGAUCUUUUAUGCCUGUCAGUUAAUAAUUCAAUCAUUUGAGCAAUGAAAAACAAGCUGCCCCCUAGCUUUAGUUAAAACCUUGGAUCACCAAGGACGUAUUUUCGUAGCCAUAGCAUUUCAUCAUAUUACUUUUAGUACUUUUAAUUCUUAACAUCAUCGAGAAGUCCUUUCAAGGGUUCAAGAUUUUUUUUUUGGGGGUUCCUUGGUUAUAAUUGCAUGGCAUACUAAAAGUUCAUAAUUUAACAGUCAUAGUGCGUCGUCUGUUACUUCAAGUAUGAGCAAUUCAAAUUCAUAAUCCUUCAAGUCUGCAUAAACAGGUUUCUGGAAGUAUAAUAUUCAAGUUAUUUGAAGGUCCAUUUGACAAGAAUUCUCCCAAGAUGUAACAAUGUAGUCCCCCUGUUCAAUAGAUAGGUGUGUUUAGCACUACCAGGAUGAUCAAAAAGUAGCACACUUUACAUGAGGAUCGCAUAGAAUGAACUGUGAACUAUUUCAGAUCAAUUAUAGCCAAGGUCCGCCGUACCGGUACCGAUACCGGUCGGCGUACCGGUGGCGGCCCGGACCGGUCCCGUACCGGUCACGUACCGGUCACAUACCGGUUCUCCAACAAUAAACCAUCGGUACCGGAUUCCACGCUGAUUUAGUACCGGUCCCAAAUCGGACCGGUACGUACCGGCCGGUACGGACCAGUACGGCAGACCAUGAUUAUAGCUACUCAAAAACAAGACACCUAUACAUAUUAUACACACAUAUAUACAUAUUGACAUAUAUAUACAUAUUAUAUAUACUUAUAUAUCUACAUAUAUGAGAUGGACUUUGCUCCUCUGAAGGGAAGAGGUUAACGUAUUUUUUUCGACUCCAUAAUCAAUAAUGGAACUUCCAAAUAGAAGAUCCGUACGGUCAUCAUGAUCUAUACCACUAAAGUGCCUAGAAAUCAAAAAUCAUGUAUUUUGAUGGUUUCAAACCAAUGCAUCAUGGAGACACAAAAUGGAUAGUUUCCAUUAUGCUAGUGUGGUAAAAUACAUAAUAAAUCAUUUAAACUAAGCAUCCACCUUAUUGAUCCUGGUCUACACACAUUAAGACAUAUAUAGAUUGAAAAUCAAUAGAUUUUAAUGCUUAGAUCAUAACAAAACAUGAUCUUAUAUUAUUUUAAUUGUUCAUUUUUGUCCAUAUGAUACAUAGGUUAAAGGCUACUAAAACACAUAAUUCAUGGUUUUUAGGCACUUUUAGUGGUAUAGAUCAUGAUCGACCAUGUGGAUCUUCGAUUUCGUUGCCCCAUUAUUGAUUUUGAAGUCAAGAAGAGUAAGAGAAGCAAAGUCCAUUCCGAUACAUAUCCUCACCUUAGUACUUUCGCCUUCUUCAGUUAUUAUAAUACAUGCUUUUCCUUCUUUGUCCACAUCAGGAAAACUAUUGACCUUUUUUUGCUUAUUCAUUCCUAGAUGUAGUAAAAAGAGAGAGAGAAGAAAAUUUUUGUCCUAGAUAGACACAAAUGCCAUGGUUUGAUACAUGAAAGAUGGAAGGAAAUAGGUGCAAUGAUAUUGAUCAUUCUGUUCUUUAUGUUUGAGUUGAUUUUUAUCAAUUCAUCACACGGUACUACACGCAUGAAACUAAAUGCAUAUCUAGGAAUAUAAAGGUUUAUUCUCGGUGUUCCAAAACUAUGAACAUUGAUACCAGCAUCCGAUUUAUCAAGUUCUAAAAGCCCAAAACAUCAAAAAUUCAACCUUUUAACAUCAUAGGUGCAAUCACAUUUCCAAAAAUGUACAUAUAAUGGAUUAUUUUAAAAAUCACAAUCCAUCAUUCUAACGUACAUAGUAACCAUUAAAUCUAAGAUUUAAUAUGAAAUGAUUGAAUUAUACCCUAGCAAAUUUUAAGAGUAUUGAUGCUAGAAAAUAAAUAUAGCAGGAUAUGCAAAGAGACGAACAACAAUGGAUGAUACAAGAAUUUAUUUAAAUUAGAAUGCCUGUUUUGCUCACAUUUUGCAAAGCAAGACAUUUAAGUAAAAAAUAACAAUGAUAAUGUUUAUCCUCCUUUGUGAUAUUCCACUUUAUUGACCAUCAAUAGGCCACCAUCAUUAUGUUGCAGACUGGUUAGAAAGUGUUAGAAACCUAGUGUUGCAAGGAAAAGGCAGUGGGUUGUCAACAACGGAAGUGACAUUAUAAAUUUCCCAAUUUUUUGCCAAGUUUUCAAGAUGCACAUUGUUCGUGUAUGAAAUAGAAAAAGAUUACAAAAGAAAUUCAGUUUUUUAUCGGAUUUGACCCAAGUUCUUGAUGCUUGAACUAUACAAGAGAUGCACACUCUAAUCUCAGCAAGAAAUCAUCAUCACCAACAGUAAGCAAAUUCAAGGCAUGGUAUAUCACUUCAUACAGAAGAAAUACAAAACAAUAUAUGCAAUUGGCAUAUGCAUAGUUUUAUGACCUAUGGAAGAAAAGAUAAUAUACGAGUUCAAUUUACUUGCCUGCCUGAAGUUUGGAGCAACAGCUAAAUGAUACAACAAUAGCAUAAUAUCAAGCAACUCCUCUUCUCUUAAUGUGCCUGAAGAUAAUUGAUUGGUCAUCGGUACACUCUCCAAAUGCUGCAAGGAUUGAUAUCCAAAGUCAGUUUCCGACUGAUCACUUGAACUUGGUUUAUCUGCAAUCUCAUCACUCAAACUCCUCACACUGCACUCUGCUGCAACAUGAGCUGAUCUCUCUGGAAUAGGACUGCAAGUCCCCUUUGAACUUUUAGUUGCAUAUCUGAUAUUAUCUUUUGAAGUUUGGACAACAUCAACAUCAGAUAUUGAACAGCAGCAAGGCUUUUGCCUUGUAGAAUGUGUUAUUCUUGUAUCUUCAUCAUCCAUGCAGCCUUCAUCCCAAAAUACCUUUUCAGUUUCUAAACCAUUGACUUGGUAAGACUUUAAUACAUGAUUCACUGAGCCUCCAAUUCUAGGAGUCCUAAUGCAAUUUGGAUCAGCUUUGAGAAACAAAUCCACAGGAAAGCUUCUCUUUCCGCCCCUAUGAAGAAAUCCACCAUCUGUUCCAGCAUUCAUUCUAGAGCCCUUCAUCGAACCAGGGAAAUCUUCCAUGGAAAACCCUUCAGAUAGGAAAUGGAGGAUUACUGUAUACAAAGAGACAAGUAUAGAAUUGCUUGAAACACCUGAAGGAGGAUUCUUAUGAUCUGCACCUCUGACCUUUAAUAUGAGAUUCUGUAAAAAUGUCCUAAACACAGACCCAGGUAACUGAGGGGGAGAUACUGGAGGUAUGAAAUGUAUGACCAGACUACAGAUUUCCUGUUGCAUUUCUUCAAUCUGCAUAUUAUGCAAGCCUAAUAUUAAUCUUGAUACAUGUUUAGGAUAAAUAUGUCACUUCAUGAUUCCUAAACUUAUUUUCUAAUGCACUAUUUUAACAAAAUAGCAGUGGAGUUGUUGUCCCUAAAUUGUGGACUUAGGAGCUGAUCGGCAUGGCACUGUACAGAUUGUGUCAAUGCCUUACUGAAAAUGUAGCACUGACAAGCACCAACUGCAUGCCAGUACUUUGCCUGCUAACAUGAUGGAUGUAAAAGCAUGCCAAUCACUUGCACAAACAGCACAGCAUGAUCCAUAUGGUGCAAGUGCCAGCACUCAGUACUUGAAUCCUUUUCCUAAAUGCACCAAGGGGAAGCAAUAGUUAUAACAGGCAUACUAGCAAGGCAUGAAUCAUAACAAACAUUAUUCCAUGCAUAAAUAACCCACACAAACUAAUAGACAUGUAACAACACAAAACAUAAUUGAAAAAAAAAAUAUAUGUAUGUAUAUUAUGUGGAAACUUGUUUAGUGUCAUUUUAGAAGAGACGCUUUAGAGACCAAGAUAUAAGAAUUCUCUUACCAGACUUUUGGAUUUAACUAUAUCUGGGUAUAAAAUAAUUUAUAAGCUUUUAACAUUUGAGAAAUACCUCGAUAUUUAACAGUUGAAAUCAUGGUAUGCCGUACCAGCCCGGACCGGUUCGUACUGGCCCGUACUGGCCAGUACGAAUCGGUCCGGGCUGGGACCGAUACCGGAUCAGCAUAGGAUUCGGUACCGGAAGCUUUUCAUUGAGAAACUGGCCGGUGCGACUUCCAUACCAGUACGGAACCGGUACAAGACCGGUAUGUACUGGUACGUACCGAUCCGAGCCGCCACCGGUACGCCGACCGGUACCGGUACAACGGACCUUGGUUGAAAUUUUGACCUAAAGCCAAAAAUCUAAAAUUGAACUAAAUAGCAAUUCUCUUACCAGACUUUUGGAUUUGACUAUAUCUAGGUAUAAAGAAAAUCAUAAGCUUUGAGAAAUACCUCAAUAUUUAACAGUUGAAAUUUUGACCUACGGCCAAAAAUCUGAAAAUGAACUAAAGCAGAAAAUUCAACUUUUUAUCCUACUGGAUUUUGAAUUUUUGAGUAUUUCUUUUGAAUUCAACUAGGGGGUUGUUCUUUACUUGCAUGUAAUACCUUCAACAAACAUUUAUCUAAAUGGUAUUCAUAUAAACAAACCUAUCUAUCUCUUUAUUUUGUAGUCUGGAUGCCAACUCGUAGGCUCAACUUACUUGAACUGGCAAUGAACCCAUCAAAACGACCAACUUAGUCAACCACCUUAGGGUAACCAACCUUCUUGAUAAACAAACUUAGUGGGCCCUACUUCCCAAACUGCCCUUCCAAGUCUACAAAUAGAAGCUAAUAGUGUGGUUAAGGAGAGAAGAGGAAGAGAAGACUGGGCUUUUAGGAGAGUGAAGAAGGGAAGCUUGCACCAGGAAUUAUGAAGUUCAUUGGUUUUAUAUAAUAAGUGACUUUUCCAUACUGUUAAAAUUUAAUAUUAAAAAAAGUUGUAUGCCAUUUUUCAGUCUCUUGGUCGCUUUUAAGUAUCAAUAAGAAUCCCAUUUCCUAUGGUCCUUUCAAAAGUUUAUGGAUCCUUUGCAAGUAUUUCUUCCAUAUGUUUCGAAAAAUGUCUUUUUGGUGUUCUUAGACGUAUUCUAUAGCAAGUUCACAUGUCAUUUUGAAUUUCUAAAACCUUGCAAUCAUUUCCAAAGUUUAUGAUCUUUGAAAUUUCAUCUCUACAGUUGGCAUCAUUACAAAGUUAUAAUGAAACCAUCAUUUAAUUGUCAAUGAUUAUUUGGAAAUCAGGACUUAGUUUAAAAACAGCUUCCAUUUCUAUUUUUAAAAAAAAUGAAACUAUGCAAUACUAUUUCUAAAAUCGUUUUUAACUUGUCUAUGUCUUCUGACUUGUAAUCAUAUCUUUAUCAGACUCUUUUUUACAUUUGGUCAUGAAAUAAAGUGCCUGAUUACCACUAGGGCUUUCUAAUUAAGUAUUUCAUAAUGUCAGUGAAUUUUUAUCUAGUGUAAAAAAAAAUAUCAUACUUAACAUACAUGAAUGGACCAUUAGCUAGCUGGCAUAUGAGUGGCUUCAUUUGACUUAUCAAUAAAAAGCCUCUAGGUAGGCAGUACUGAUGACCUCAUUCCAAUUAUAGAUGAUGGUACAUAUGGACCCCUAGCCAAAUAAUAUAUGAGUGGCCUCACUUGAAUUGUCAAAAAGGAACUUCUAGAUCGAUGACAUACAUCGGCCCUUGGUCAAGUGGAAUAAGUUGACCUCAAAGAUAGGAGUAGCCCUAGCUAUAUUAGUGAACAGGAUAACAUAAGUAGCCUCAUCCGAAUUAUCUAUGACACCUCAAUUGCAUUAGCAAUGAGGAUAUGAGUGGUUUUGUUCUUCUUGGCAUCUAUUAUUUUGGUGCAACUUUUUUGGUUCUUAAAAAGAAAUAGUUGAAAAUGUUCAGUUGUAUGAAAUGAAUUUCUAGGUCAAAUUUAAAACAAAAGCUUUUUUAGGGUUUUUUGCAAGUCCCCUUGCAAAUACAGCUUAUUGCAUAUUUACCCUUUGAAAAUCAUUAUUUGUAAUAUAUACCGUUCAAAUCAUCUUGUUUUCACAUGAACUCUCCUCCCAUUAGAUUUUUAGUUAAUGAUGUUAAUAAAAAACUAUUUUGAGUAUCAUUUGACAUUAUUAACCUUUUUAUGUUAAUACUCAUGAAAAAUUUAAAUUCAAAUCGUAUUGAAAAGAGCUAGAAUUCUAUAUAAUUUUUUCAAGGAUAUUGAUACAAAAGGGUAAUAUAGUUAUUUUAUACUUAAAAUGGUUAUUUAUCAUAUACAAUAUAUCAAUUUUCUGUUUACUUUUGAAGAUGCAUGUACAAUUGACUAUAGAGAAUUUUUAUCUAAAAGUUAUUGGUUAUCAUAUAUUGUAUAGUUAGUUGCAUGAUGUUUGAUCAUAUGACUUCUUUGAUGAUAAUUAAAUUUUAAGCUGAGCUCCAUCAAGUAUGAUGAUCACACCUUAAAAUUUGUGUAAAGUCAAGCCUCAAGUCAUGACAAGAAAUGUAACAUACUUGGUAACAAGGAAAAGAAAAAAAAAUUUGUGUUGCUACGCAAAGAGAAAGGAGGGAUUUCAAAAGAAAAAUAUAUAAAUUCGAAUGGUCAAGUUUAUCAUCAUUCAAUGAAGGGAGAGAAAAACAACUGAAUAAAUUAUGGAUAUAUGUAAGAAGCCUGAGGGUGGCAGUUCUUGUCCAAAAUUUUAAUUUGGAUUUAAUUCUACUAUAGAUUUUCAACAGUGUAACUUGAGUUUCGAACAACUAUAGUAGUAUAUGAUUUCGGAGUGCCUAGAUAAGAUGCAUCUUCAAAUAUGGUAGACACACCAAAUGGGCCUGUUUUGACAAGCCAUCUGGCCUGAAAGGGCUAAGACAAAUUAUAAACAUAAGUAGUUGCAGCAUUUGAGUCAACGGUGGAGUUAUGACUACGUACUUGGGAGACCAAGUACAAAGAGGGGGGAAAUGAAUGGACCAAUAAAAUUAUACUACAAUUGUUAUUCGUCUCCAAUAACCAUGACUUAGUUUACUAUAAGGCACUACGAUCUCGAUAUUUUCCAUUAUUAGGAUACAAGGGCUCAAAGAAAUUUAAUUUUGUUUUAAAUUAUAUUAUUCACAUGUUACUCUACCAAAUAGUGAAGCGACUAUUCUAGCAAGAAUAAGUAAUACAGACCUUGUGGACCACCAUAUAAUAAUUUAAUUAUAUUGCAAAAAGAAGGAAUAUAUGUGGUGAAAUGACUUUUACCAAGUCGAAAAGUGGAAGGAAAAUCAUCUAUACUAAAGAAGUGAAGCCAAGACAACAUGGAACUUUGAGGAGCUAGAAGAGAGACAAAUGGUGAGAAACAGAGCCCAGAUCACUGGGCUUGGUUUUUUAUUUAAAAAAAUACAGAAAGAUAUGGCUCUCUAACAUAGCCUUCAGAUUUAUAUUUUCAUGAGCAGUCUAGCUUCAUUCUUAAUGUCAUUUCAACAGAUGAAGGGGUCAACAUAGGCUUCUAUAUGACUAAUAAUACCUGUCUGAACAUAUGAUAUUACAUGGGCGAUCCAUUUUAAACAACUUCAUUUUUUUUCAUAAUUAAUCUGAGCCAAUUGCUAUGGUAGUGUGGCUACAGAGGCAAAAAGGAUUGUCAGGCUGCGCCUCUAACUUGAGCACAGAAUAGUGAAAAAAUGACAGAUGCACUGCUGCUGAUGAGUGAUAAUUGCAUGAUUACGUCGAAUUCAGAAUAAGAGGAGCUUUUAAGUUGUCAUCAGCAGGUUUCAAAACCUCAAAAUAUACUACCAGCACUGCCAAAAGAUAAAAGAGCAUGAAUAAACUUCAAUCACUCAGCAAGAAAAUUGAUUAUGAUAAUGGAAUGUCGUGUAGAUGAAUAAAAAUACAACCCUUUUCUAAACACAAUAGCUUUUCAGUUUAGAUCAAUAUAUGGUGAAUGUUGAUUAAAUUCUAUCGCAUUAAGUACAGAACUUUUCAAAAUCUUUGACGGCUGUCCAAGUCUCCGCAGACCAACUUGAAACUCUGAUUGAUGGCAUAACAUAUGUCACCCAAAAGAUAACCACUGAUCAUGCCAUAUUUAUAUUAAUGAUAUCUCAUAGAUGAAAAGUUGUUUUCCUUUGCUAUACAAGCUACUUAUAGAGAGAGCAAAAUACAUUUUAAUCUUGAACCCCAAUGUAAAACCAAGAUAGUUCCUACUUUAAAUAAUGAAAAGCAUAAAUACCAAUCAAAAACAGCAUAUAAUACCUUAUUUACAGCUGCAGACAAUGCUGUCAUUGUCAUCAUCAUGCUACUUUCAGAACCAAUGUCUUCAGAUGAACCAGGCCACCAAACUGAUGGAAUAAGGCUGUGCAAAUCCUGCUUGUUCGGGCUCUUUCUGGACAGGAACCCCUCCAGUGAGAAUCCAAAAUCAGGUGACUUCCACAACAAGACCAUCAUGUCUUCACGCCUAAGAAUAUGGCAGGCCAGUGCUAGAUAAGGAUAUGAUCCAGAAUAAGGGCAUUCCAUCAGUACAAUUGGUGCCACUUUGCAACUACAAGAAAGUGCCACAAUUACAUGCUGGAACAAAGAACUUGAUCCUGAAAACUCUAAAAAAAGGUCAAUAAUUUGAUCCAAAGAUGCAUAAUCAUGUGGUUCCUGUGCUCCAAAUACUUCUAAUAAGAAUGAUACAAAGGCAUCCCAUGCCAUAUAUUCAGCACACUCCUCACUUUCCUUGAUUAAGUUAAAGAACUCCUCGCAAAUCCCACGAGAUAUGGAAGAGAAUAGUUCCUUGAGCGGUGCAAACCUUUUCAACCUCCUAAAUUUCUCAAAGUAUGCUGACUCAGAUUUAUCCAAGCACUGUACCUCAAAUAGCCUGCACAAACACUGGAGCAAAUAAGUAGCAAAGUAUCUGGAACUAGGUGGAGCCUGGAUAGGAAGAAACCCAUCGAUCGGGUACUUGAAUGGCCGGGCCCCAAAAUUCAAAUCACAGCACUCUCCUUUAGAAAGAGAAAUUGCAGGAUAGUACCCAAGCCCACGCUCCAUCUUACGAACACCAUCGAAUGCCACACCAAGAGAUUCCCCGUUCCUAUAAAAGGAAAUCAUGUCAGCAUCCAAAUCGAUGCAACAUCCAAUUACAUCACCAACAACCCAUGACUGACCAUAGGACUUGGGUUCCUUGUUCCAUUUGCUUACCCUCUUCCCAUCAAAAGCAUAUGAAUCCUCUGCAUCUCCAACACCUUUGCGAUCAGUGAAGGGACAUAAAAUGGUGGCCCAUCCAAGCUGCUGAACCCCUGAAGUUUCUAAAGUCACUUCAUACAUCCACUUCCCCUUCCACACACAGGAAUUAGCUCGGGCACUACUGAACUCAGCAAGGCUUUCUAUAAGCAGUGGCUUCCUUAUAAUCUUGAUAUCUCCACAAAUGCUUGCAUCAUCUAUAACGACAACAUCCGGGCCUGACCCAUGUUUCGCAAUAGACAUGCCAUCUCUGUUACGGCUAUCUACUGCUGGAUCAAGCUGAAACCUUGGCAGUUGGUUCCUCAAAAUGGAACGGAUGAAUUCAACAUCAAUUGAAGUACCAGACGGACAAAUUGACUUGUAAGGCAAAUCAAAUAUAUGCUCCAGAGUGCGUUCCACUGACUGAUUACCAAUGUCAUCGCAGUAUGAAAUCAAGUGAGAAUUUUGAGAAACUCCUCUCGGAUCAUCAUCCGACAAUAAAACAGCCAGGCCCGACAAGAAUCCAUUAUGCCUUAGACUAUCUUCAGCCAUGAAAUUUCACGGCUAACAAACUAUACUUUUUCCGCUUCCUCAACACUAUCAGCCUAUUCGACAAUAAAUUACUAUUAAUUUCUUGCAAGCCGCUUCUUCUUCAACCCAUUAAAAUUCAAAGAGGUACACAAUCUGUUAUCAAAUAACAUAAAAAGCUGCAAAACAAACAAAUUCAAAGAGAAGUGAGGAAAAAUCCACAUUUGAUCAGUCUUCAUCAAAUUCAAAGAGAAAAAUCCUAAAGAAAAGGAUAAAUCAACCCAAAAGGCACUAAAUUCGAGAAUUCUCGACAUUUUCAUCGAGAGACACAAAGAAUCAAGAUUUCGAUCAAAGUAAAGCAACAGUUGAUAGAGAUAUCGAGCAGAGGAGACGGACCUAGGGGCGCCAGGGCUCCGGAAGCCGAAUUCUUAGCGAAGCAGAACUAGGAUUUCACAUAGACCAUGAAUAGGGCCGCGCGGAGGGAGCAUUAGGGUUCGCGGACGCCAUGGACGAACAAGAAGAGAAGGAACAAAUAAAACGGGAAGAGAAGAGACGGGAGAAAUGGGUUCAAUUCUUUCAACGAAUAUGGAAGGCCACGCGGGCGCCCGCACGCUGACCCUCGGAGGCGGUGCGAGGAGUCAAUCAAAACGGGUCGACGGGUCGUGUGGCGAGCUAAGGGAGAUGACGUGGCGACCGCACCUUCCUCCGAGUUCCAGCGCCGGCCCUAGGAGAGAGAAUUCGCACGUGCGACGGGGUUAUUCUACUCGCGAUUUUCUCGGCGCGAUAUUUCGAGGGCUGGCUCGAUGGGAUCGCAGCACCGGUGGUGAGCCGGAACAGGUGCCGUACUGGCUUUUUCUCCCAUUUGGUUGGAGGAGUUCGCUGGUUUCUGCUUUAGCUUUUGUUUGCUUUGGCUCAGCGAAGCGGAAAGCUCUGCCCCGCCAUUAAAAGCCUUCUCGGAUUGUGACCGCAUAGUGAUGUGACUUUAAAGCGAUGCAUGUAGAUGUUGCAAUAUCAAUUUAGGCUAGGUUGGAGGAGUUCGAGGCUAAAUUGAAAUGGGAGUUGUGGUGACUUAUGGAGGCAGCACAAUGUUGAGGAGGCGGUGGGACGUGGAUCAAGCUAGGCCAAUGAAUAGGAUCAUUGAUGCAUACACCAUUUUGAGAGAUGCCCAAAUUGGCUAUUGGAUCCAUUUAUAUCAAUUUACUUGAUCUUAGUGUAUAUUAUGUGCCAAGGUGCCUAGCCCUUCUCGCAUCUACUUUGUUGGGGUGGAUUCAAGUUCGUCAUUUGAAUUAGAUAUUAGGUUGGAUGAAAUUAUUUUAUUCUCUUUCUUAAAAAAUUCGACCGGCUCGUUAAGUUUUAAUAAAUUUUAUUUUUUAUAUUUUUUCCCGAUCUACCUUAAACGACCCAACAAGAAAAAACUAUACUUUUUUAUUUAACCGGACAAUAACACGAUGCUUAUUUCAUAAGAAUGUACUUAUUGCUGCUAAAUUUUUGAACCGAGGUCGGGACACUGCUCAACUAACUUUGAGGUCGGUAAGAACCGAGCUGAGUGAGGUCGGAUGAAAUCGAGGUGAGGAAGAACUUGUUGCCUUCAAAGCUAACUUGCAAAAAAUUCACUUGACACAAAACCUUCCAAUACUUAAGUUAGAAUAAUAGAGCAACAGUGUGGACGAGAAAAAAUUUGUAGAAAAGUGUUCUCCAAAAAUAAGUUUUUUUAGAAUUUCCGAGCUAUCCUUUUAUAUAGAAUAGUAUACUAAUUCGUUAUUUGAUUUGGCGCAACGUGUCUUAAUUGUAUGGUAACAGUCGGCUGCACAUUAACGACAUAGUAACCAUCCCACGUGAGCACGUGGCCGCAAGUACGCCGAUCAUGCAUUGACUACGGUAUUGUUAUAACUGUUGGUCUUUAUUAAUAUGUGCAGAGUGGCAUCUCGAUAUUCACCAAAGUAGUUUAUCUAUGUUAAUAUCGGGGUCAAUGAGAUCUGUCUAGAUCAAAAUAUUCAAUAUUUUAUCUACAAUACUAAAAAAAAAGAAAACUUUUUGGCGAUCAGAUGUAUCGAGUUGAAUGAGUUGACAAAUCGCUCAUCCUAUAUUUCUUUUCGGUGCAUGACAAUAUAUUUCUUUGAUAGAAAUAUUGGAUGGAGACGCACGCAAUGUCCGCGAGCCUCCAUCAAUUCCCAUGCAUACAAUGUACGGGAGCUCGUUUUUGCGGGUACGCUACGCGUUUCCGCCUGCCAAUCAUGGCAAAUUUUUGAAAAAUCACCUAGUCAUCGUCUACAAAACACGACACGCUGCUUUCUAGAAAGACUAGAAUGCCCGAGUUAACGUGCCUCAUUGAAAAUUGAAAAAGGUAAUCAUCCAUCCUUGCAUAGCUCACGUCACCAAAGAAGCCCAACUACACUGACCAUGCGGUUGCUGGAAACUGGACCCGAGAGUGGCCGCAGACCGAAAAAGAGGAGCCCGGUAGGAGUUGCGAUGGCGGACAGCUUUUUUCGGAGAACCUAUAAGAAGCCGAUAGCCGGAGAUUUCGGUACCGACCCUUCAAUGCUUAAGUCAAAAAAAAAAUUUUUGGUGGAGCAAGUAGAAAGAUUACCUAAAAGAAAAGAUCCCCUUUUAGAAGAAAGAAGUCCCCUUUUUAUAAGAGGAGUGUAGGGGUUGCCUGUGACUGGACCUGACUGUGCGAAUUAAUGAGUUACCGUAGUGAUUGGACGUGAUUGUGUGAAUUAAUGCAUUACCAUAGACGGCCCGAGAUUUUGGGCUGGCUGUCGGUCCGUUGAUAUCGUGCGUAUUUAAUCAUUGACAGUCGUUGAGGCGGAGAUCGCGGGAUUGGACCCCGGAUGAGGAGGAGGGGACUUGAUUUCCGGUGGAGUGGGAGGGUCUGCUUCUUCCUUUGACUAGGUCUUCUUUGGCCUUAAGGUCGAUCGGGCUCAACUUAGCUGAGAUCAAGGCUGCAAGCUGUGGGGCCAGGCGCCUUGAGAGUUGCUGUCGUCGCGCUCGCCAUCAAGUGCCGGCAAUUUAUCCACGUGUUUUGAGCAAUCCAUUUUUCCCCCAACAAUACCAAUCAAAUGUUGCAUGGGACAUUGAAAUAUGUGUGAUGCAUGUCAAAAUAUUUUAGUUAAAUGCAAUUGCAUCACAACUUCUUGGCUAGAAAGUAAAUAAGCUUCAUCAUGAUUUAUAAAAAUAAUACCCCACCAUUUACCUGCCGAAAGCUAUAAAUCGUAUGUUACAUUAUGUUGUACAAACUAGCCAUUGUUGUCCCUGGAAUAAAUAUACCGUGGCCACACUUACGCUUCACUUCUUCCCUAAAACGAGCUUUUAACGUGCAUGGUCCAUAAGGUUGCACGAUUUUGAUUAAAAGUACAAUUACUGGUCGUAUUUGUUUUUCCUGAUCAAUCCAUGCAGGUGUGGUUGGAAAAAAUAAAGAGAGCACAAAUUUUUGCAUUGGCGGUGGAGAAAGAAGUAUGACCGGAAGAGAGCAUUUUGAUCCUCUCCACCCUUUGAACACAUAAUAUCAUGCACUUAGAGAUAAAAGUGAAUCAGAUAAUAUCCAUCUGGAUCUACUUUUAUAUCCAAAUUUUUUUUUGGAUAUAGAUAAAACUUUGAUUAUCUAACUUAUAUCUAUAUCUAUAUCCAUACCUGUCAAAAAAAAUAGAGAGACAACUAUGCGAUCCGUAUUCGAAUAUCCGAUUUUAUUUAUAACUUUAUUUAAUUUUAUAUAGCGCUCAUAAACUUCUAAAGAAAAUAAAUGACCAUAUUAAUAUACUAUUAACUUAAUUUAUCAUCCACUUGGUAAUAUUUUUGAUUUUAUGGUCAUAAAGUUUAAUUAUUCGAUUUAUAUUCGUAUUUAUAUUCAUACUUUUGGUAUUCAAUAUCUGUACCCGUUUAAAACAAACAUGGACAUAAUUUUUUGCAUCCAGCCAACAUCUAUAUCCAUAUCUGUAUUCGUCAAAAAAAAAAAAUAUGAAUAUGAAUAUAUGUUAAUAUUCGAUCCGUAUCCAAUCUGAUUUUAAUCCUAUAUACAAUACUAAGAGUAUAUGGAUAUGUACAUGGAUAAGCAUACACACACCAUGGCAUGACAUAUGAUUAGAACCAAUCUAGAAGUACUCUGGACAUAUAUUAAGUGACUUAAGAUUUUGUAUGCUAGAAUUUUCAUGAGCGUUACCAGUGAUGGUUCUCGCACAUUCUUUUUUUAUGCUUGAUUGUCACGCUUGUUUAGAAUUCCAUGAUGCAUCAUAAUAAUUUAGUCAUGCAUGAAAUGCACAAUUUUCUUAAAAUUGUGAGAUCUUUAUGAGCCAAAAAAAAAGAACAGGAUUUACAUGUACUCUCCUAUCUUUGUCCUGGUCCUUGCUAAUAUGGUCUAAUAGUAUCAUCGUGCAUUCCGAUAUUUCUUCUUAUUUUGACUUAAAUUGCAAAUGCUGCUAUCUUGUGUUUCAGAUAUGGGACCUCUCCGUAGACGAUGCACCUGCCGAUCGAAAGAUUAAGUUCCAUAAUCUUUUCAUGAGGGCCAAUCAUGACUACAAAUCCUGGAUGACGCCGAAACCCUAACUCAAAUGGUUAAGAUUGGAUGUCAUUGAUGCCAAAUUCCAAUAUGACGUUACAUAAUCAAAAUGAGUCUAUUCAAACUCAAAUAUCCAGCCAUCAUCUUUCUAUGUUGAGAAAUCUACUUCAGUGAUAUGAAGUAUUUUGACCCGAGCCCGGCACGUGACACCCAUGUAACUUAGUAAAAAAGAUGAUAGCCCCCACAUAGUCAACAUAGGAAUGCCAUUUGUUGGAAAAAAAAUGAAUCGCCCCGAAACAGGUGAGCAUCCGACCUGGAGGCGUCCGACUUCAAGACGCCCAACCAGAGGCCCGACCUCAGGGCUCCCGACCUGGCGCCCGGCCAGGCGCUCGACUCCGAGACGCCUGACCUGGGCACCCGACCUCAGCAUCCUUGACCUCGGAAGCCCGACCUCACUAUCCAUCCGCUGCGGUCACAUCCUUCUGCAGCUCGAUCAGGGACCAUGUCCUACAACAAUUAAAGCGCAUGGCCUCCGUCGAUCUCCGGCUCACUCAACAAUUAAGGCGCAUGGUCUCCGCAAAUCUCCAGCUCACUCAACAAUUAAUGCGCAUGGCCUCCGCUGAUCUCCGUCUCACUCAACAAUCAAUGCGCAUGCUAUCUACAGAUCUCAAGCCCUCCACGGCAAGCAGUUGGCCCACUCAGCCACGUUCGAUCAGCCACGACGACUCACUGGCUCCGGUCUAAUCUCCCACGGCAAUGCAUUAAUUGACACGAUUGUGCAUUAAUUCACACGAUCAUGCUCAAUCAUGACGGUAACCCGUUCGCCCCAUCACACGCAGGUAAUCCUGUACCCCUCUAUAAAAAAGAAACCUCUCCCUCUUAGAGCGGGCCCGGACUCUAAAACUCCAAAAAAAUACUUUCUUCCUCUCACACAUUAGCCCCCUCUGACUUAAGCAUCGGAGGGCCGGCGCCGGAAACCCCGGCCACCGGCUUUUUGCAGAUUCCCUGGAGAAUGCCACCCACCAUCUCACGCUGGAGCUCCACUUUUUCAUCCACUGGUCGCCUCCAGGUCCAAUUUCCAGUAACACCAUUCAUGCCAUAAAAUGUAACCAUUCAGCUCUUAAGUUGCAAUGUUGAGAAAUCAACCUCUGUGGUAUAGAAUCAAAUGAAAAUUUAACUGUGACAUGCAAGUUGGUAAAAUAAAAUAUUUUUUUUAUAUAUUUCUGACUUCAUAAGAUUUUUAGGUACCGCGGCGUAUUCCAGCCCAAGCCUUGUGCGAGGUUGAUCUGGUGGUCAUGGAUGGACUUUAUUCACGCGAUUCCAGAGGAAACAUGGCACUAGAGCCUUCAAGACACACCCCAAGACAUGACGACCGGCCAUCGUUGCUUAGCCGAGGAACCACGCCAAACAAAAUGAUUUUUGAAAGCAACGAUGCCAGGGAAUUCACGAGGGUCAUUAAAAGAGACCAAGAAGAAUCGUGGCCUCUUGUCAAUGUGGUUCACAAGAAAGAGCGUUUAGGUACUUAAAUUUUGAUUGAAAUGGGCCCAACCACAUACAAUUUUUCUUUCUUUUUUUUUAAAGGUGGGGGAAGAAAAAAAAUAGAGACAAGAUCACGUAAAAUAACUCAAAUAUAAUUGGUGACAAUUUAGGGGUGCAAAUGGGUCGGAUUAAUCCGUGACCUGAUCCGACCUAUUUUACAGGACCCGUGGGGCAGAUUGGGUUCUAAAAUUGGAUCUAUUUCAGUUUCGAAGCUGCAUUUAGAUUUUCUGAAUCUGGCUCGAUCCGAUCUGAUUCAUCUAUUUAAAAUUUGAGUAAUUUUAGAUUUUCAAAUCUAGGACUCGUUCCGAUCUGCUUCGAUCUGAUCCAAAUUUAUAAAACUAUUUAGGCUCGCGAGCCGUAGAAGUGCAAGCCAAACACGUCAGCCGGAGUUGGGCCGUUCAAGAGCUAUGUGUCUGUUAACUCUUAAAGGUCCAACGUGUCUUCUACCGCGAUUUUUUAGCUUCCAACCACUCCCUCUUUGGAUCUGAACCCCCUUUGAAUUAUUUGUUUACCUUGCACCACCCUAACCCCACGAUGGAAAAAUUAGAAAGAAAAUAAAGGAGAACACUACCCCAAUAGCCUCCUCCUCUGCCUUCCCCUGCUCUCCUCCUCCCAUGGAGGAACCCCAUCCCACUCUAAGCCCCAAACCCCAUCCUCUACUGCACGGCCUUCCUUCCUCCUCAAGACCCCCCUCGCCCUCUCUCCGCGUCCUCCUCCUCUCGCACGAUCAUCCCCAGCCGCACCAAAUCCAACUUCGCUCUCUUCGACCUCUCCUCCCCACCAUCGGCGCCCAACUGAUGGAGGACAACUUCAGGGAGAAAAGGGAAGAAGGAGGGAGAAGAGAGGAGGAGAAAGAGAUUGUAAAGACGCAGGAAGAAGAGGCUUUGGAGACGCAGGAAGAAAGAAGGGAAGAAGGGCUCACGCCCAGCGUGAGGAAGAGAAGAAAGUCGGCCAAGCCAAGAAGUUUUUUUAUAUCUUUGAUCAAUGCCCUAAUUUAUAAGGGGUGUGGCCUUUAUAUAGGCCUUACAUCAAGUCCAUCAAUUGAUGACAUUCCAAACUUGGGCCCUUACAUCAAUUCAAUCAAUUGACUAAGUUAAUUAAUUGGUUACAUACCAAACUUGGACCCUACAUCAAUUAAUCACUUAUCAACAUUGAUCUAAUCAAUUGAUCUAAUUACUUGACCCAACAACUAACCAAAUUGACUCGACUAAUAACAAAAGCAACUAACCAAAUUGACCCGACCAAUAGUAAAAGCAACUAACCAAAUUGACUCGGCCAAUAACAAAAGCAACUAAUAAUGCAAUAAAGUAGAAAUGACACAAACUCGAGUAGAUCCAAUCUCGGGGGUCUAACUCAAACUGAUGUCAAUCUCUGGCGUGACGUGAGUUAGUAGCUCUAAUGGCUCCAUCAUCUGAAUAAAGGGUUCUGAUGUUUCCAUCACCAAUCCUAGCCCCUUGCCUUCGGAAGGUCCCAAGAUGCUGAGGAAGGUCCCAAGAUCUCCGUACGCUGAGGAAGGCCAUCUUGUGUGCUGCCUCUAAUUUUGUUUCAUUUUUUUCUGUUACGAGACUAUGUCUUUGUUAUGUUAAUAUAAAUAAAAACAAGGUCUAUAAGGAUGGAUUACUUGCAUAGUUGCAUGCCCCCCUCUACAUAUGUGGAUUUUUUUCAAUACAAAUACAAUGAUUCAUAUGCAACCCAAAUCCUAUUUUUCUACAAAUGCAAUGUUGUAUGAGUGUCUGGCCUUCUGAAUACAUAGAGAGAGUCACAUUGUUGAUGAGUUUUUUUUUUUUUUUGGUAGAAGCGGGCUACUCAUUUCAUAUAAAUUCUUUUCUUUUUCUUUUAUAGUCUUUUGAUGAACCGGACCCCCAACCCAGCCUGAAUGAUCCGUUGGGUCAAAAAUUAUAGCCGUGGACCUGAUCUGACACGAUCUAAUUUUUUAGUAGGUUGAGUUUGGAUCUAAAAUUAGAACCUAAAUAAAGAACCAAAUUGGGUUAGGAUCGUUCAUAAUCCGGUCUGACCCGACCCAUUUGCACCCCUAGGUGACAUAAACUUAUCUUCCUAUAAAUAUAACUCUCAUUAAAAGAGUAAAAAAAAGAACAACAUCUGCCAACAAUCUUGAAUGGUAUUAGAGCGAUCCAGCCCAUAGCCUAUGUGGACUAGAAGAUACUGCAGUAUAGAUCCAUUAGGGCUGACCACGAGCCAAUCGUGGUGUUUGUGAUUAGAUUUGAAUGAAUUUGAACCCUUAGCCUAACGAGGACGUUAGGGCUUGAACGGAGGAGUAUGUGAGGACCCAUGCGGGCGUGUGUUUAGUCCCACAUCGGUUAUUCGCUGGAUAGAUCUUGGGUACUUAUAUAGGAUCAAAAAACCUAAAUAACAACUUCCGACUAGCCAUUUUGGGUGAGGUCAUGGGUUAUUACACUUCUUCAAUUUGUGAAUGAAAAAUUCCCACAAACGAUUUUAACAGACCAAGAUCUUGCACUCAGAGAGGAUAUAUCAAUAGAGUUGCCAAGUACAAAGCAUGCAUUUUGCAUUUGGCACAUAGUAGCAAAGCUGCCAACUUGGUUCUCUUUUAUUUUAGGUGGGCGAUAUAAUGAUUUCAAGACUGAGUUCUAUAUGCUGUAUCAUUUGAAGAGUAUUGAAUAUUUUGAAAAGCAAUGGCAUAACUGGACGUUCAAUUUAUAGUUCUCUUUUAUUGUAUAUUUCAGCUCCCAUUUCAAUUGUUGCAUAAUGAUUAGACAAAAUCAUCUCGUUUUGUAGCAAUUCAAAAGCAUAAGGGAUGAAAAUAUUGGAGGCAUGUUCUUCCAUUGGCAUGGAUGUUUUUAUGCUGGGAUUGAGAUNNNNNNNNNNNNNNNNNNNNNNNNNNNNNNNNNNNNNNNNNNNNNNNNNNNNNNNNNNNNNNNNNNNNNNNNNNNNNNNNNNNNNNNNNNNNNNNNNNNNNNNNNNNNNNNNNNNNNNNNNNNNNNNNNNNNNNNNNNNNNNNNNNNNNNUUCUCAAUCCCAGCAUAAAAACAUCCAUGCCAAUGGAAGAACAUGCCUCCAAUAUUUUCAUCCCUUAUGCUUUUGAAUUGUUACAAAACGAGAUGAUUUUGUCUAAUCAUUAUGCAACAAUUGAAAUGGGAGCUAAAAUAUACACAGUAGGACAUUGUAUGAAGAAUGAUGGGGGGUGUUUCGUGACUUGGGAUCAAAUAAAUGAGGAAAUUCAUUGCAGCUGCAAAGAAUUUGAGUUCUCAGGUAUUUUGUGCAGACAUGCUAUAAGAGUUACUCUCCAUAAAAAACUACUUUCAUCUCUCAGAGAAGUAUCAUCCAAUACGAUGGAGACGUAAAAGCUCAGUAAUAUUGAAAUUCAGUCAUAUCAUAAGAAAGAGAGAUGACAACUUGGAGCAAGCAUUUCAAUCUCAUGUUGCAACUUUGCAUUUAGAGUCUUCCAAGUCCAAAGGGCGUGCACGAUGUACUAAUAAAGAGUUGCCUUAUUAGAGGCAUGCCAAUAGGCGAUGAUUUAAUAUUGGAAUUUGAAAGUUGCCCAGUAGAGUCAUUAAAUCAUGAUGAUUGUCAGCCCAUUCGAAAUCUAGAACCAUCCAAAACUAAGGCAUGUCCGAACGGGAAAAGACUAGUUGGAGGAGUUGAACUUGCUAAGAAACCAAGGAGAUGUCAUGUACCGAAUUGUGGUGGAACAAACAAUGAUUCAAGGAAUUGCCCAAACAAAAAAAAGGCCUAUUGAAGAAUCCAUUGUCAAUUCUCCCAUCAAGUAAGUAUUUUUAGUCUUUUUUAUAAACUUAUAAUUACUUGAUGCACAUCCAUAUUAAAAAAAAAAUUGUCUUCUUAUUCUUGUAUGUUAAUAAUGCUUUUAGGACACAGAUGGGCCAGAAACGAGAAAAUGAACUAUCUCAAAAAUAAUUGUUGCAGCUUUUGUUUUGAUAUUUGAGAGAUUGCAUAGUAGAUAUAUGUGGUUCUUGGAGCAGACGAUGGACAGAACUCGUGUUUGCAUAUUCAAGCGUCAAUCAUGUUUGCAUAUUCUUUGUGUGGAAUUAUUCCAUUUGAUGCCGAUGGUUAGAAAGGUUGUAUAAAUGCAUUUCUAGAAUCUUUAAACAAUUUGUGGUAUCAAAGGUUUUAUUGAAAAUAUUCUUGUAUAUUGAUGCCUUACUACUUUAUCGUCAGAGAGAGAGAGAAUAUUAAUUGAGGAUUGAGAGGAUGAAUUAAUAUGAGAUUAUAAAAAAACAUAAAAUAUUUUUAAAAAUUAUAAAAAAUAAAAAUAUUUUUUGUUUAAUGAAAAUAGAUUAAUUGAUAACGUACUAGAGUAGCUAUAAUUUCUUGAGUGAGAGACAGAGAUCGAUGGGUGUGGGAUAUGAAAGCAGAGAGCGGCCAAAAAAACAAAAAAUCUAAAAAGAAGAAGAAGGCCGGGGAUAUGGAAGCAGAGAAGGACCAAAAAAAAAAAAAAAAUCUAAAAAGAAGGCCCGGGAUAUGAAAGCAGAGAGCGACCCAAAAAAAAAAGAAAAAAUCUAAAAAGAAGGCCCGUUCCAGAACCAGCUAAAACAAUUAUUUUGCCCGUGCCUUCUAUGAACAAGUCCCCGUUUCCGAGGAUGCCUUGCGUCCGUAUCCUUGACGUGUCCCGCGUCCCGCUCCCUCCAGGUCCUUAUCCUCCUCAGGGGGACACCGUGCCGCCCUCCUUCUUUGAUACCUACUGGAUCUCCUACCCCCCGAUCCAACGGCUCUUCCUUUACCUCGACGCCGCCCUCCCCUUCGCCUCCAUCGUCGACUCCCUUAAGUCCUCUCUCUCCCGAACCCUCCCCCUCUUCCACCCCUUCGGCGGUAACCUCACCUACCUCCCCGCCUCCGGCGACGCCGUAAUCGACUGCUCCGCCUCCGCCGCCGACGGCGCCGCCUUCCUCGUGGCCGAGUCGGAGCUCGACCUCCGCCGCCUCGCCGAGGACGAGACCCACGACCUUGAGUCUUUCCUCCAGCUCGUACCGGACCUCGGCGGCGUCCGGGAGCUGCCGGCGCCGGUGCUCGCCGUCCAGGGGACGGAGUUCGCCGGCGGAGGGAUGGCGGUGGGGCUGGCCGCUCACCACGCGGUGACGGACGGGAAGGGGAUCUGGCGGUUCGUGGAGUCGUGGGCAGCGGCGUGCAGAGGGCGCGGGGAUCCGCCGGGCCCCACGCCGCGGCAUGAUCGGGCCGCUAUUAGACACCCGACCGGCGACGAGGUCGCCGGGCUGUUCUUGAGACGGAUGGCGCCCGCGCUACCCAAGGUGAGUCAGAAAAAUAGAUGAUAACUGGAAAUUUCCACAAACACUUGUCACAAAGUAUCCAUCAUCACGAGGAGCUCACAAAGUUGGAGAGUGCGCGGAUUUGGAGCAACCCGAUUUUAGAACUGAACUAUGGUUUUUAUAUAUAAUCUAAAUCUAUCCAUGCCAAUUUUGAAUUUGCUUAUCAUGGUUUGAUUACAAGUUGGCUAGUUAAAAUAUGUAGUGGGACCAUGAGUGUGGCAUUAAAAUGACUCCUCCGUCGCCCGCUCCCUCUUCUUUUUCUUCCCCUCAUCCCCGCAGGCAACGGUUUGCUGCCCUCGAGCGAAAAGGUCCUUCACUCUCGCCCCCGCUUACAUCCAAUCCCUGAAGCAACGAGCCGUCCGUCAAAGCACAGACAUCAGCCACUCCCCCAUCCCGACCCCUUCCACGUGCGUGGCCAUCUCCGCCCACGUCUGGCUCUGCAUCGCCCGCGCCAAAGCCCUCGCCGGCGACGCGGCCACCACCCUCCUCUUGGCUGCCGACUGCCGCGCGCGCUUCGACCCGCCCCUCGACGAGGCCUACGCCGGGAACUGCAUCCGCGCGUGCUCCGCGCCUCCGCGGAGGCCGCGGCGUCGGAGCUCUUGGCGCCCGGCGGGCUCGCUUGGGCGUGCGAGAGGAUCGGGCGGGCUAUCCUGGCGGCCGUUUGGGAGCCGCUGAGGGAGUGCGAGGGGUGGGUGGGUUUGCCGCAGGGGAGGUCGGUGAUCGUAGUGGGCUCGCCGAGGUUCCGGGUCUACGAGACGGACUUCGGGUGGGGAAGGCUGGCGAGGGUGGAGCUGGUGUCGAUGAACCACGACGGGGAGGUGGUGCUGGUCGACGGCAGGGAGGAGGGGGAGGUGCAGGCAUCGGUGGCGCUCCCGGCGCGACAUAUGGAGGCGUUUGCCGAGCUGUUUGUGGGUGGUUUGGAUGGAUAGGCUUGGUGGCGAGGGAAAUGGAACUGCAACUUCGCAACCGAAAUAAGCCAUCAGAUGUGGAUUGUGGAAACGGUAUUUGAUCCAUGGCCGCGACCACUCUCUAAAUUAUUUUUACAUUAACUUUUAAUAUUUUUUUUCUCCACAACGAAAGCUUCGAUCUACUUGAGAUAGGGAUGAUAAGAUAUGUGAGCACCCUGUUGCAAUUAGGCCGGUAAAGUGGUUGAAUCCCUCGCGUCCAUUUAAUUGUCGGCAGGGUUGCAACUUGGAUUGGCACAACCCUAACUUGCCCAACUGUCUUAUUAGAUUGGGCGGUAUUAUAAACUUGGGAUGGGCCUGGGCUGAAAAACCCUAACACAAUCUCCAAUAGGGUUAUGAUAAAUAAAAAAAGAAGAAAGUUUUAGGAUUAAUCCCAACCCAACCCAACAUAAUUUGACUUAACCUAACCCAAACUAAUAUAUGAAGAAAUAAAAAUUUUCUUAUCUAUAUUGCAUAGAGAUUACCUUUAUGUUUGUAUAAGUUGUCUUUAAUCUUAUUAGAACAUUUUUAAGUGUAUACUUCAAAUUUAUAGAUGAUUCAGGCCUUAAUUCAAUAAAUAUUAAUUUAAUAAAAAUAUUUCAUAACUUUUCCAUCUUAAAGUUUCUAUAUAGCACGAGUUAGUUUAAUUAACAAGACAUAUGCCAACGCAACUCAGCUAACCUAACCUAUGUUUAGUUUAUAAAUUACAAUGGGGGUGGGUUGGGUUGGGUUGGGUUAGUGAAAUUCCAACCUGAGACUAGGUUGGUGUUUUCUUAUCCUGCGAGGGUCAGGCCCCAUGACUCCUAUGGCGGUGCUCUCGACGACAUUUAAACGGUGAAUUGUCCCACACCUACUACGCCAAGGUGAUGGGGUUGGAGAUCAGUGUGAGUUCAAGAGGUUACCACUAGGGAGGGUAGCAUACCUGUCCGCAUUGUUGAGGUUCUAAUUCUACAAGAGGACUUUAGAUGGGGGGGAUGCUGGGAAGAGUGGUGCUAGCGUCGAUAAACUACAAUGAGGAGAUUGAUCUGGUCAAAGAGAAGAAAGAUUUUUUUUAAUUUGCUCAAGUCGAAUUUCUUAAAAAAAUUAGAAAAAGAUAAAAAAAAUAAAGUAGUGUUUAAGUCUCCUUUUCUUUCAUCGAUGAUAAUAAAAUCAGGGUAUAUUGCUCUAUUUAUAAUGGUGAGGUCCGCACUUACACAAUUUGGAUAAAAUUUCUUUUCUAAGUCUAAUAAACUCACCUCUGUAAAGUAAACAUGACUAGUAGAAAUAAACUUAAAAAAGUAAAAAUUAUAUAGAAGAUAAAUCUCAACUUCUACGCUAACUUUAUUUUCUAUCAUUCCAAUUUUUCUCGAACUAGGAAAUAUGCCUGGUCAAAGUUUUUUCUAAAAAAAUAAUUGGUUUGAUCGGUCUAUUUCAGAGCUCAAAUGAUGAAAUUUGGAUCUGAUCGCUAUAGACAUAGCCUCUCUUAAGGGGUGGAGCCAUAUUGUAGAUUGCAAAAAGUUAUAUGACUCCAAAAGAAGAUCAUCUCAAUCGAACAUCGUAUGAUCAAGUUAUAACCUCUAAAAAUUUGGUUUGCGGCUCGGCUUCCUAAUAUAAAUAUGGUGGAUCUCGCUUCUGAAUCUUAUUCAAUCCUAUCUAUAGUGGCCAAAGUAGUUCAUAUUGAGUCUAAUGAUUCUAUUCGAUCAGAGGCGUGCUGGAUAUGCAGGUCGUCGUAACGGAGGAGGGAGAGGGGGUGCACCUUUUGUACCACAAUAUAUUGCGUCAUGCUAGAUUGCUGUCACACUAUCCAUUUUGGAGACAGACGGCUGCCACUCGUUGUGGAAAUCCAAGUGGCCAUAUCUGUUGCCAUACAUGGCACAUGCUAUGGACAAGCGACAACCAUUCAUCUUAAAAAUGGAUGAUGUAAUAGCUAUCUAUGGUAAGAGAUAAAAGGUGCAUCAUGGUGGAUUUUGAGUUUUGAUGUAGCAUAGGAACAUCAGGCUGGCAGCAUUGUUAGUCCUAUAAAUUGCAGGCAGUUGCAUUUACAGUGGCUUCAAUUAUGAAUGUAGGUCUGCUAAAAUUUAUGUUCUCGACUAUGUCACUAGUCUUCGCUUUGGCUUGAAAUAGAAAGAACUUUCCAAAAGUUUUACUAUGUAAAUUUUCCUAAGAUAUCUAAUGUACUUCAACUGAGGCACCCAGAAGGUCCAACCAUGACAACCAAUGACGCUAGAAAGCAGGAACUAUUUUAUAGUUGUGUUAUCCUCGCUCCCAACUUAUUCAUAUCAAUAAUAAUAAUGAUUUAAACAAGAUUUUUUAAAAAAAUAAAAUUUUGUUUAAAUUAUCGAAUGGUAAAAAAUGUCAAAUAAUAACUAUUCAACUCCUUCUGCAAUGAGAUUAUACUUAAAUAACAAUUAAUAUCUAAACAAUUAUUAUAUAUGUCUUAGUUUGUUUUAUGCUUACGUAAUGCACAGUCUCAGUAACCGUCUUGACACAGCUGACAUUUUAUAUUGCAUUUUUAUACGCAACUAGAUCUAUUUUUAUAUAAUUAUAUAUGUUUUCCAAACAUUUAAACAUGAAUAUAUUAUAUAUAAGUAAAAUGGGGGAUUAAACAUAGAACUAUCAAGAUCAAGCCUCUCUUCUUUCUUUUUUUUCUUUUGAACUUAUGAAAAGGGAGGGGGCAUGAAGUCAAACAAUAAGGGGUGGCUUUUGGAUUUGGUUUCCGAUUGUGGAUAACAGGAUAAGGAACAAACCUCCCAAAGAUCCACUCUCACACUUCGCAAUGCGCUGCUACGCUCGUCCUCUGGCGGAGACCCCAUGACUCUCCUCUUCCCGCCGCUCUCUCACUCCACCUUUACUCCGCCCAAACCCCAUGUCUCCUCCUCUUUGCCCCCUCGCGCAAUCCCUUCCGCCUCCCCCUCCACCGUGAGUACCCAGCCAGGCGCCAUCAUCGUCGGCGCCGGCCUCGCCGGCCUCGCGGCCGCAACUCACCUCGCCGCUUCCUCCGUCCCCUUCCUCCUCCUCGAGGCCUCCGACGCCGUCGGCGGUCGCGUCCACACCGACUCCCUCGACGGCUUCCUCCUCGACCGCGGCUUCCAGAUCUUCCUCACCGCCUACCCAGAGGCCCGCCGCCUCCUCGACUACCCCUCCCUUCACCUCCGCCCCUUCUACCCCGGCGCCCUAGUCUACCACGCCCGCCGCUUCCAUCGCGUCGCCGAUCCCUUCCGCCGCCCCCUCCACGCCCUCGCCUCCCUCCCCAACCCCAUCGGUUCCCUCCCCGACAAGCUCCUCGUCGGCCUCGCCCGCCUCCGAGCCGCCUCCCUCCCCGACUCCGUCAUCCUCUCCGCCCCCGAGUCCCCUAUCUCCGACCGCCUCCGCGCCGCUGGCUUUUCCUCAGCCAUCGUGGACCGCUUCUUUCGGCCCUUCCUCGCCGGCAUCUUCUUCGACCCCAACCUCGCCACCACCUCCCGCCUAUUCGACUUCGUCUUCAAGUGCCUCGCCCUCGGCGACAACGCCCUCCCUGCCGCUGGCAUCUCCGCCAUCCCUGCCCAGCUCGCCGCCCGCCUUCCCCCGGGUUCCCUCCGCCUCCGCUCCCGCGUCGUCGCCGUCGACGCAGGCGGCGGCGCCGCCCGCCAGCCGUCCGUCACCCUCGAGGAAGGCGACGCGAUCGCCGCCGAUCUUGGGGUAAUUGUCGCCGUCGAGCAACCGGAGGCCGAGAAGCUUCUCCCCCAAGCCUUCCCCGGAGAAGAGAAGAAACCGAAGCCGGUUCGAAGCACGGUCUGCCUUUACUUCUCCGCCGACCGGGCUCCGGUCCAGGAGCCGAUACUCAUCCUGAACGGUUCGGGCGAGGGGAUCGUGAACAACAUGUUCUUCGCCACCAAUGUGACGCCGUCCUACGCGCCCGUGGGGAAGGUUCUGGCAUCCGUGUCGCUGAUCGGGGCGUUUCCGGAGCGGUCGGAUGAGGAUCUGACGGCGGAGGUGGUCCGGGAGCUGACCGGGUGGUUCGGGUCGGAGGUCGGGUCGUGGAGGCACCUGAGGACGUACCGGAUCGAGUUCGCCCAGCCGGACCAGACCCCGCCCACGAAUUUGGUUGGCAAGGAGCCGCGGGUUGGGGAAGGGGUUUACGUUUGCGGGGACCACCGAACCUCGGCGACUUUCGAUGGGGCGCUGGUGUCUGGGAGGAGGGCGGCGGAAGCCUUGAUCAGAGAUAGGGGGUUGUCCAAGAUGUAAUUUUGGCCGUCUGAUGACUGAUCAGUCUAUUUUUCAGUUUUUUAAGCAUAACACGGUAUUUGAAAUCCCUGUCUUUGUUUUUUUGGGUACAACGGCUGCUCAUCGUAUUCUAGUGUAUGACCGGCCAACAGAAUCAAAGACUAGGACCCCCCUCAGACGUGAGAGAGGGGUCCCUCGGUGUGGCCAAAGUACCUCUCCAGUAUGCUGCGCAGCGUAGAAUGCAAACCAAUCCGCGGUUUUGUUCGCCUUCCGGUAUACAUACGCUAUUUGGAAGGCGCUGCAAUUUCUCAGCAUCAGCCUGAUAUCACAAAGCAGAGGAUUGCCUUCCUCUUCCAUCCCUCCUUUCGUAUCUAAUCGAUCAUUGUGGCUGAGUCUCUCUCUAGAAUGAUGUGCUCGGCCCCCAACCUCCGUCUAGCAUAGAAAACUCCCUCCCAAGCUGCUCUGAGCUCCCCUCCGAUAGCUGAAACCCUAUCUUUGUUCAAGUAUGCCAUUCAUGAUCUCUUGACGUAUACCCGUAGCUUGAAAUGGGGAAGGGAUGUUGGGAAGGAGGUUUACGAGCUCAUAGCUUGGAAAGCAGUCUCAUGAGGCUACCAGCAUCCCAACUUUGCCUAACCGACCCUGAUGCAAAUCACACCCACCUUUACCUCCAAAAUAAACAGAUAGGUGCUGAUGCGGCCAAAAUCAAGUUUGCUUAGCACAAGUUAACUUAACAUAUAUGGCAUAGUAAAAAUCUAUUUCAGUUAUACUUAUAUUCUUAGGCGGAUUCAAAUUAAAAAAAUCAAGAAAUAGUUUUACAUUCUAUUAGAUAAGAACUUACUAUCUAUAAAAAGAAACAGUGCUAUUUUUUUUUUUUUUCUUAUAGUUACCUAAAAUUCUAGAUCUUUCGAUCAGAUCACCUUCAACAACCUCCUUUACUCUUCUUUCUUUAUGAGUCAUUGUUUCCUUAUGUGUCAUCCGUGGGAAAUGAAAAUUUAUAUCACCGCCCACGACAGUCUUCCUCUUUUGCUGGAGCUUCAGCAACGGACUCACCGUUGGCACUUCUGCGAGUUCCUGUAUGGUCGACUUCUUUUCUGCGGCCGUAUCUCUGAGCACCACCUUCUCUCCACAUGGGACGCAUGUCCUGAAAGACCGUGAUGUGUCUCUAGCUCAAGGAUUGCCCUUUCAUACUGCCUAUGAUGUGAUAGCAUGCGCACGAGACGCGUGACGAUCUUUGGACCCUUCGUCUCCACAGCCACUGCAGUGUCCACUACCAUUGUUGCCACAUUGUCCCCGGACAGCACCUCACUGACGACCCCAAGGGUCGCGCCUUCAUGAUCGCUGCAGCCGAGAAGCAAGAGCUCGUGCCGACAGUAGCCAAGUUAAUUAAAGCCCGUUUCCAUCCCGAAGGCCAAGCACGAUGGCCACCGCCGAAAGGUUAUCACUGUUGUCGUCCCCACCACACUCGACCCUUUCGUGACAGGUGUGGCAAGCACUCCAGCCGCAAUAGGAAAUCUCAGCUCUGCGACCGUGAGCGGUAGAAGAAGCUCAAGGCCUUCCAUCUAAGAACCACUGCCUCUAAGAAGAGGAGCAUUGAGUUAAGCGAGACGAAGCGCUGCUUAUAAUCCUUCGAUUGUGAGGACUCUAAUGACACCUCUGAUAUUGUCGACGCUUGCCACAAAGUGGAGGUGCCAAUCCUCUUCAACUGAGGCCUCCUUACCGACAUUGACCGCUGGGACCAGAAGAAGCACUGUGGUUCGGUUGAGCAAGAGAAAAUGAAGGAGGAAGAGGAAAAGGGGCAAAACCCCUAGCUACCUUAGGUGGUAGCUCCCUCGGCCAAGCAGGAAGCAAGAGGAGGUGAGGACUCACCGGGGUGUGGCGGAGGUAGGGGAUCUCGUGACGACAACAGCUUCCGAUGAGAAGAGGUGGAUCUCGAGACAGGGGCAGUGGGACAACCAAAAAUCUAGAGAGAGAAGAGAAUUCGGGGGCGGUGGAGCUCGAUUGUAGUGGCACGUCAGUCGCAGAGGUGAGGAAGAAGAAGGGAGGGGCUCGGUGGUGAACCAUCGCCAGAGAUGAGGGAAAUUUAAAUGAACGUUUUUAGAAAGGAUAAGCUCGAUGUACUACGAAUCUAGUGGCAGUUAGGAGCGGUCCAAACGGUCGAGCAGUUGCUCCUUGCCAGACUCCUAGAGUCCCCAUCGACCAUAAUUAUGGUGGCCUUAUCGACUCAACCGGAAGGGGAGAACAGAGGACCACGAUCACAUCCUUUGUUUCAACACCAUAAAUAUGUUGGGCCUAUCGACUUCAGUCCAAUAUGGACUUAAUUAGGCCUAGUUUUACAACUACAACCAAGAUGUGGUGAAGGUGGUGAUGCUAGCAAUAGUGACGACAAUAAUUAUGAUGAAAGUGCUAGCCCUAUGGUGAAAGUGUCGACAAUAGCAUCAACUAUGGCAACAAUUGGUUGUGGUGCUAAUAUAGUAGUGGUAAUGAUAAAAAUAUAAUUUUUUAUUUUAAACAUAAUAAAGUAUUUUUAAAAUAAUAAAAUAAGUUUAAAAAAUAGAGAAUUAAAAUAGUAGCAGCAAAUUUUUUUUUCGACUUUUAUAAUUUACUAAAAAAUAAAAAAAUAAAAGCGAUAUCAAACAUGGAGUUUCACGAUCUAUGCGUUGUCCAAGAAUCAAAGCCAUUUGGCGGCGUUCGUCGGGCACACAACAGGUACUCAUCCCACGUGGCGGUGACCCGGGACAUGAAACUUUCUAGAUCCCUAUAUAUACUACAAAUCCUCACUUGCCCCAUGAGGCGUGUAUUAUUUUUGUGCGAGUCACCGGCUCCUCGUAAGCUCGUUGGUGAAACCGUCAAUUCGUCACGUGCACCUUGGUUGCGGUGGGCAAUUCCCCUUCUACCGUCCGGCAAACCGGGCCAAGACCCUCCAAACCAACCGGUAAGAGCGUCAUGGCUCGUGCCCCACGGACCGCGGCUAUUAGGACUAGAACCGACACCCAACCCCUGCGCUUCUCCCCCGCGGUGCAGAUGGGCUCGAUAGAGGGAGCGAAGGCGGAGAACGGCGUGGCCGCACCCGCCUGCAACGGUGGCGACCAGCGGAACGGAGGAGGUGGAGGGGCCUUGCCGGACGGCGAGGCGGAGGCUGGGAGGAGGGGAAAGGUCGGGGCGGCGGCGGCGGUGCUCCCGCUGGAGGUGGGCACAAGGGUGAUGUGCCGGUGGAGGGACCAGAAGCUCCACCCCGUCAAGGUCAUCGAGCGGCGGAAGAUUCCCAACGCCGGCCCCAACGACUACGAGUACUACGUCCACUACACCGAAUGUGAGUUUAUCCAUCUUCUUUCUCUCCUUUCAAUUAGGGCUUGGGCUAGGGUUAGGGUUAGGGUGAGGGUUUGUAAUUCACGUGGAUAUUGGGUUAGAAAAAGUAACGUAUUGGAAAUUUAGGGUUUUGGAUAGCACCAUCAAGAAUUUUUUCUUUGGAAAAAGGUUGAGAAACUGUGAGUGCUGCCAUGGCGUUUGGUGGAGGACAAUUACUUCGAUUCAGGUUGUCUUACUUGAAGUCCAUGAAAACAUUAACAAUUAAUUAUCUAUGAAUUUUUAGAGGCGUGGCUUAGGAGAUCUUUCUGGUAUUUGUUGUUAAUAAUUGAGCAACACAAUAAGUGAUUUUUAAUAUAAUAUAUGGUGUCAUUAUGGCCUUAUUCUUUUUGGGUUGUAAAAUUUGAUGUCAAAGUUCGCACGGGUUUGUAUGAAAAAUUAAAGACGUUCAUAUAUAUCUUCUGAUGAUGUGAAAUAAUGCUAAAAGGAAAGUCUUGAUUUUGUAAUAUAGGACUAAACUAUGAUUGAUGGAAUCAUAUAGAUGGACUAGAAUAGGCCUAAAAGAAAAUUUGAUAUAAAGAAACUAUAUUGAAUGAGAUUAAUAAUUUAAUCCAUGCUUGUCCUCAAGUAGCACUUGAAAUCAUUAUUUCUUGAUCAGAUGGACUGAUGAUAAAGCAUUUGAUUUUAAUACCUGACUCUAGGAAUGCCUUUUUUCGGUUGGCCUCUCCCAAGUUAUUGCUUUCAAUUGGGUUCAACAAAUCAGAGCUUGACAUACGGGGUCCUGGACUUGGUGUUUUAGUUGAAAAUCAGAGGGGAAAGUAAAAAAAAAAAAGAAGAAAACUUGUGGGAUGCUAUUUGAGAGUGCCUUUAUCAACAUUACCUAGACACUUGGUUUUGUACCAAUAAAUAGAAGUUUAAACUCCCACUCUUUUAGUUGUCUACCAUAUCUUUCCACUGCUGUAUCCAUGCCUUGCUUGCAUAGUCUUCUAGUCUUUAGCAGCACUGAUGAUAUGUACUAGGAAAUUACUAUAUGAUACAAAAACAUGAGUUCCCUUUAGAAAUAAUCCUCUGUAUUCUUGAUAUUAAUUGAGCUUAUUAUUCAGGUAAACCUUCAUUUGUUGUUACACUUGCAACAGUGAGGAAAUUUAUAGUAAAGAGUAUAGCAUCUCAACCCACUAUGUAGCUCAGGUGGUGUCUGUAUAAGGGCAAUAUCUUAUACUUCGCUUAAAACCCUUCAAUGUAUAGAUUGCUUAGAAAUACAUGUCCGACAAGAGAAGCUUACAAUGAAGGUUUUUAUUGAGGGGAAGAGUGCUCGGUUGUGCAGUCUACUUCAUUGUGAGAUGCAGGAUGGUAAUUAGAGCUUAGUGAGAAGGGUUCUGAGAUUGUUAUGAGAUAAGCAACCAUGUGUUUCUGAACUAGUGAUGUUGGUUUGGGGGUGCUGCUGAGCCUAUCAGGCUGAGGAAGGUCAUUCUUCCACUCGCUCGUCUGGAGUCCUCCCUAAAAAGAGGGCUGUAUUGGGGUCUUGCUGAUAACCUCUUUGAUCCAAAGAACAGUGUUGGAUUUUAUGGGGAAAUUCAGAAUAACUAGACAUGUAUCGGGGUGUUAGGUAGUUCACUACUUUUUUAUUGGAUAUUGCUUUUAAUCACCUCAUUUGAAAUGGUUUAAUGUGGUUUUGAGAAGAGAUGGAUCAUCUUUAGGAAAUUAGGCUAUCUUCUGCUUGCUGUUCUAUUAGUGUAGAGUCUUAAAUUGAUACGAUUUGAGUUGGAAGCAUGGUAUGCUGUACCGAUCGGUACCGGAUGUACCGUAUCCAUACCGAUGGGUACCGGUAUCGGCACGCCAAUGUCGGUAUGCCUGAUGUACCACAUCCCGUACCGUACCGACACUUGGUAUGCCUGUACUAGUGCGGCACCGGUACGGGGUUCGGUACCGGUACGGCGAACCUUGGUUGGAAGUGUUCGUGGCCUUCCACAUUUUGGAUGAAAAUUUCUUAAGAUUCUGGUAUUGUCCCAUGGAGUCCUGUAUAAGAACUACUACUGUCAGCACCAGGUGCACUACAUAAUUGCAUGGCAUUUAGAUGUUUGUUGUAUGCUAGAAUUAAUUUUUAGCAUCAAUAUUUAUAUUUGCUAUGUUGCAAUGGUUAUGCAUAACAUAAUUCUGUUUUACAGUCAACAGGAGGCUUGAUGAGUGGGUUAAACUCGAACAACUUGAUCUUGAUACAGUGGAGGCUGACAUUGAUGAGAAGGUGGAAGAUAAGGUAUUGCAGUACAUGAGUUCUGCUUUUACUAAAUUUCAGGAUUGUUGCAUUAAGGGGCCAAAAUGAUGACUGUGAUAAAAUAGACAAUUCUGUCUGUUGGUGCUGUUUGAUACAAUUCGGAUCAGUUUUUUAGAAUGCUUUCUUUUUCUAGUACAUCAUGUUUUGUGUUUGUCCCUAACAUAGUGUUACUUGAAUUAUGAAUCCCUCCGCUAAAUAUUUAUUAAUGCUGUAGUUUUUCCCUGAAAAAAUAGUCUGAGACUUACCUAUGAUCCUUUGUGAUCUUUAUCAGGCAACGAGCUUGAAAAUGACCCGUCAUCAGAAACGGAAGAUUGAUGAGACACAUGUGGAGGUAUUUUAUAAGUUGAAUUGUGAUUAAAGUUACUUUAUGCAAUCAUACAAUCAUCUCUCUCUCUCUCCCUCUCUGUGUAAUUCAUAUAUAUGGCUGGUCUUCACUCUUUCCUAGUACCAGUACAUUAAUCUUGAUUAUUAGUGUCUUGUGAACUUGUAUCUCUGUAACUCGGUAUCCCUUUCUCAAUAUCGCAAUAGAGUUUUGCUAAAGUGUAACAGUUGUAGAUUCUACUAGAUGUUGACAAUGCUUGUUCUAAUCUCAUAUUGAACUUUCCAAGUCUCUCAGUUAAAAACAUCUUGCAAUUAUGGCUACAACAAAGUUGAUAUUAUGAUUAUGGAACAUCAGCUGAUCACAAUAUUGCAAAGAUUGAGCACUAUAGCAUUUGAAUAUAAAAGCCAGCAAUAUUAUUGACAUGGUGCAAUAAUCACUUGCUGCUCAUCAUUUACCUAUUUUCUUUCUCGUGUGAGAAAUUGCUAAUAUCAUGGGCAGGUGUCUAUCAGAUAGGAAAAAAUAAUUUAGUUAUGUGUUACAGAAGAGGGAAAGAUGAUGAUGUUGUUUUCAAAGGCUGAGUUAUUAAAUGAAAAACAUGAUAAUCUUCCUUUUUUUGCUUACCCAAAAAAGAGGCUAAUCUUCCUUUUUGUUGUUAAAUCUUAUAUUGAAUGUGUCUGCAUAUAUGAAACACAUGAAUUGCUUGGAUAUAUGAAACACAUGGAGAUAAUCACGUACCCUUCUACUUCUGCAUUUUGUGAUCAUGUUAUUGCAAUUGAACUCACUACUAACACCUCUUCCAUCUUCCAAUUUUUCCUUUCUUCAGAAGGGUCAUGAGGAGCUUGAUGCUGCUAGUUUGCGGGAACAUGAGGAGUUCACGAAAGUGAAAAACAUAGCAAAAAUAGAACUUGGUAGAUAUGAGAUUGAUACAUGGUAUUUCUCCCCUUUUCCGCCAGAAUACAAUGACUCUUCAAAGCUGUACUUUUGUGAAUUUUGCCUCAAUUUUAUGAAGCGCAAAGAACAGCUUCAGAGGCAUAUGGUGAGCUGCAUCUGAAUUCUUCUAGCCGGACUCUGUUAACAAAUUGAGUGGUCAUGGAAUGUGUCCUAGUAUCUGAAGUUCAUUGUUAUCUGCUCAGUCAUAUAUUUCCCCCCUUCUUGAAACUAUUUCUGCUGUUAAUCUCAUUGCAUAUAAACUGAUCUUGGUCAAUAUAUGUUCUACCAGUUGUAUACUUGCAUAUGGCAUGUACCUCUCUUAGGACCAGUAUGAUCAUAGUAUAAAAGUUCUUCACUUUGCAUCUGCAAAAAGUUUUUUAUUUUAAUUUAAGUACUAUAUUUUAGGUGAUAUACUCCUUUUCUUCCCCUCCUCUUUCCCUCUCCCUAGCAGGUUAAACUAUGGUAGUAUUUUACAUGCCUGUGAAUAUACGUAGAGUCCGCAGAGUUUAAUAUACAUGUAAAAGGAUUGAGAAUGAUUGAUGGAGAUUUUCAUAAUUAUAAUAUUAACUUUGAGAAUCAUAAAUUUAAUGUGUGAAAUAGGAGUUUGCUCCACUAUUUAUUGUCCAAACAUCUUAAUCAGCAUUUAUGUGUUUUAUGAUAAGCUACAAAAUGAAUUCAAGCAUGUGUUCUACAAUGCUAAAGGUGAUGAUCAAAUAUCUGCCUCUCUAAUUAAUAGUGGUUACAACACUCACCUAAUUGUUGAAAUGAGCCAGAAUACUUGGUAUUGCACUUAAAUUUAGUCCUUGACAUAUUGGUUGCUUAUAUUCUUGUUGGUAAUUGCAUGUUGCAUAAUUGACUUUGUAAAAUUAGGCUGUUAAUGGGGUCAAAGGGCCAACUAUUAGAGAUACUGGAGAGUGUGUUUCCAUUGGAUUUUCGUGCAAAUCCAGUUCUCAUUUACCAAUAUCAGAUAAGGAUGAAGGUAGAAUUUUUAAUUUAUUGGGUUCUUUAUGGCAAGUUAUGCUUGCUUUGCCAUUUCGUGUUUUGUCAUUUGAUAAAGCUUAUGUUUUAUAUAACCUGGUUUGGGAGAAAAUGGUGAAAUCUUAAACCAAGUUCAAACUGAAGACCAAAGGAGUACAUGGAGUACAAAGACAUAACAUUAUGAAUGGAAUGCUUCUUGACUUUGCUAUGGUAGUAUGAUAUAUGAUGUCGUAGCAAAGACAUACAUUAAUAAAUUUGAUAAAUAAUGACAUUACAGAAUGCAAAACUUACUGUAAAUUAUUUACUUUGUGGAAGAGCAAAAGGCAUGUAUGGAUUGCAAGGUAAUCUUAGAACAAAUUUGACCAUGAAGCUAAAAGCAUUGAGGGAAUGAUUAGACAUCUUAUUAUGAAUGGUAAUUCAACGAUUACUAAAGAAGGGGGAGUGAGAUCAGGAGCAAUAAUACUCAACAAAUUACUAAAGAAGGGGGAGUGACGUCAGGAGCAACAAUAGAUGUGAUUAGAAGUGCAAAUGGGCCAAGUGGCCCAAGCAGAACCAAGUGUUAGGCUGCUCAGUCUCGGCUGUUUAUAUGAAAGGGCCAAUCAAGCUUGACCUGAGCUAGAGCAGUGCUUAGUAGGCCUUCAUGCUUGGCUUGUUGGGGGUCUGAGGUGAGCUUGAAGGAGCUUCUUUCUUUCUAAGCCAGGCUCCUCCUUUCUUUUUUUGGUGCAAGCCUUGAGUUUUCAGGCUUGGCUUGUUUUGAGCUUGGCUUGUUUCGUAGCUGAGCUGAGCCCACAUGAGCAUCUAACAAAGACUAUUCGGAGCUGUUCAUGAACAGCUUGCUUCAUUUGCAUCCCUAGGGAUGAUGUAGUUAUGAAUGGCUGAAAUAGGAUGGUCGCGUAGUUCAAGUUUUUACAAGUAGAAGAUGUAAGCACUUGGAAUCAUGCAUGGAACUAAGGAGGAAUACGAAAAAAUGAUUAUGUAUGGCAAAAUAUUAGAUUUGAUGCUAUAGGAUCUAGUAAAGCAUAAUGCGCUUAAAAAAAUUCUCAGCUAGCUAAGCCUUAGGGCUAGCAUAGAAAAAAUCUUGGACUUUGCAAGAUGAGGAAAAGGAAAUACAGGAGAUUAAAUUAGAUGGGAUUAUUGGAGUAUUUGUAACAGAUGAUUAGAUAAUGCAUAUAUGUAGAGUAAGCACAGAGUUAGGGGAAAUCAUAGAGUUGUUCUACUCAUUGUUCAAAAUAAGCUUAUUGAAGGCUUGCCUUGCCGGGCUUUAAUGGAUGCAUUUGAAGCAUAACAUGGGAGGCAUUAUAACAGAAAGCCAUAUCACAUGAGUAGACACAUGUAGGUGCAUAUGUUGUACCUUAUAUCAAAUAUGAAAGUCAUAGAUGUGCUCUUAUGUUACUUCAAAAAUAAGUGAUGGAGUUUAUUUAGAAAAUAUACAUGAGCCAUUUCAUGUAAAUGCUACUGUACACGGCACAUUUAAGAUUUCUGCACAUUUGGCAUGUGGAAGUGUGACCCUUGCCAAACAAUAAUUGAGUCUAAGUAUAUACAGGGACGGCCCAAUACAUUUGGAGGCCUAAGGCGGAUUCAGUGAAUGAGGCCUUUUUUUUUAAAUAAUAAUUUUUUUUAAUAAGUAUAAAAUACUUAAAAAAAAGAUAUGAAAAUAGAUAGCUUUCAAGUACAUUAUUUCAACAAAGAUACAUGAAUGCAACAAAGACAGACAAAAAGCCUCUUCAGUUUAAUAUAUUUUUUGAAUGGAAGCAUGGAAAAGUAAUUACGCUUAAGAAAGGGCCUACGAAACUCAUUAAAUAACUGAGAUAAUGCUUGGCAGUACUGUUUACCAUGUCAAGCAAGAGCAGAAUAGGAAAAGGUUAUCCCAUGGCACUUCAUGGUCAAGGUAAAGGAAAGAAUUUGUCCAGAAAGGGACCUCUCUAUAAGAGAAAGUAGGGGC
This 74703-nucleotide long non-coding RNA is filed under the name Phoenix dactylifera (date palm). RNAcentral's name for it is "long non-coding RNA (PDAC_LNC005715)". Lineage: Eukaryota; Viridiplantae; Streptophyta; Magnoliopsida; Arecales; Arecaceae. The record is from RNAcentral.